CAGGCGCUGACGGUGGCGACGCUGUUCCCGCUGGGCGGGCUGCUGCUGGUGCUGUCCGGGCUGGCGCUGGCGGGCACCGUGGUGGGGCUGGCCGUGGCCACGCCGGUGUUCCUGCUCUUCAGCCCCGUGCUGGUCCCGGCCGCGCUCACCAUCGGCCUGGCCGUCACCGGGUUCCUCACCUCCGGCGCGCUGGGGCUGGGCGGCCUCUCCUCGCUCACCGUGCUCGCCAACACGGCGCGCCAGGCGUUCCAGCGCACCCCGGACUACGUGGAGGAGGCGCGCCAGCGCAUGGCCGACGCUGCCGCGGCCGCGGGGCACAAGACGCAGCAGGCCGGCCACGCCAUCCAGAGCCGCGCGGAGGAGGCGCGCGCCGGAGGAGGAGGCGGCCACACCGGCGCCACCGGCGGAGCGGGCGCCGGCACCGGCACCAGGGCGUCGUCGUAAGCCGGAGCCAGCAGGCCGAUGUCAGUCCGCCGCGCCGCGCAGCAGGGCGCGCGUCGUCUAGCUACUACCUGCUCUAUGUGUGCUAGCGCCUUCGUACGUGUCUACACGAGCGAGUGUGUGUGCGUUCGUGCGUGUCAGUGUGUGUGUGUGAUGUUUCUACUGUUUUAGUACUGCUCGUGUUCGUCCGAUCGAUCGGUUUAGUACCGAGUUGUGAAUAAGAAAAGGCCCGGGCCGCUUCGUCUGUCCAUGCAUUUGCUUCUGUGCUGCUUCAGUGUGUGUGUGUGUGUGUGUGUGUGUGUGUGUGUGUGUGUGUGUGUGUGUGUGUGUGUGUGUGUGUGUGUGUGUGAUGUUGUACUACACGCUGCCGAUCAUUUGACAUCGACGAGGAUAAUUCACCAUUUGGCCCAUCCUUCGUACGAGAAUACUUCAGAAUCCGUCUUCCUUUUCUGAAACGAAGUUCAGAUUCUGUCUUCGUUGAAUGCGAAGCGUGCAAGACGAUUAUCCCAGCUCAAACUUAGUGACACAUCACCACUACAGACGUACAGACGUACUACGUGCCGGAGGCAAAAAUAAACACGUACACACGUCAGGUGCAGGAGUGAAACCAUCUCCCAAAGCAAGGCAACAAUAUACACCAUGGCUUGCUGGCCGCUGCACCCUUUUGUAUUUUUUGGAGUGAAUGGCGGAGCUUUACUGCACAAUGAAGUUUUAGGGCAUGCAAAUUGGAUCAGGAGAAUACAGAAACCACACAUGCGUAAGGUGUAUUGUUCGGCGUGUGAGGAAUGGAAGAGGCACGGACAUAACUUUAGGGCACCCCACUACUUUUUGCAUACAUUAGGGCAUCUCCAACGUUAUUAUUUUUUGCAUUUUCUUGUUCAUACGUUUUUUUAGGGGGGUUCUUUUUCAUACGUUAGGGAAUACGCUGACGGUGACGGGACACUGCUGUCGGAGGCCGAGGGCCGUCAUCCAACGCUGCUAAAUCAGCCGACAUUUAUCCAGUUAGGGUGGAAAAUAGUAUAAAUCUUCCAUACAUAGCAUACAAAUAAGUCGUCUAUAGAAAAUAGUAUAAAUCCUCCGUACAUAGCAUACAAAUAAGUCGUCUAGUACAAAAUGUCUCAAAUUCAACACCGGAUGUCCAAUAAGCUUCAUCAAAAUGUCUCAAAUUCAACACGGAUGUCCAAUAAGCUUCAUCAACGAAUUAUGUCGUCUCAUACAUACUGCCCUUCAGUUAACCGUGUGUACUUAAAUGACCGUGCAAUGGUCAUCUUUUCUCCAGCUGAGUUAUCACGGUGACACUAGUCUGAAUAGCGUACCAGUGAUACGGUAAUGAUCUCACAUGCCUUCUUGAAUAAUGUGCAUAUUGUAGGGAGCAAUGUGUUUUUGGGCGUGAAAUAAUUCAUGUACUUGCUGCCAGAAGGUCGUCCUCUACUCCCGCCUACAAAGUUCAUGGAUACGGCCAACCAUGUAUCGCACAACAGCUCAUCCUCCACGGUCGAGUACCCUGCCAUCCUUCGUACUCUGAAAGAAUGACAUCGCAUCCAAAAUUAAGCUAAAUGGCAUUUGAUCGAACACAUGUCGGGCGCGGUGUCUGCCGUGGAGGUUGUCGACAGGGGGCGGAGUGUACCUGAGUACAAACGACUCUAGGAUGGACAACGCCGUCAUAAAGGCGAGCGGGCGCGCCGAUGCUGGUUGCGGACGUUCGGCAAUGUCUCUGUGACGAUCGGAGAGGUAUAAGGGCCGUGACGAAGAUGGAGGGUGCCGAUGCAAUGUAAGGGCGAUAAGGGGUAGAGUGAAAGAAAAUGGGGCCAAGAGGGGGGGGGUUAGUGGGUCUCGGGUGCCGGAGUCCUACGUGGCUACAUGCCGGACUCCCGCAACCCCCCCCCCCCAUUUUGUCUCCACUUUGCAGGAGAAAGCAUGUCCGGACCGCCAUGCGGAACGAUACGGGCCCAAGUUGAAUGGCNNNNNNNNNNNNNNNNNNNNNNNNNNNNNNNNNNNNNNNNNNNNNNNNNNNNNNNNNNNNNNNNNNNNNNNNNNNNNNNNNNNNNNNNNNNNNNNNNNNNNNNNNNNNNNNNNNNNNNNNNNNNNNNNNNNNNNNNNNNNNNNNNNNNNNNNNNNNNNNNNNNNNNNNNNNNNNNNNNNNNNNNNNNNNNNNNNNNNNNNNNNNNNNNNNNNNNNNNNNNNNNNNNNNNNNNNNNNNNNNNNNNNNNNNNNNNNNNNNNNNNNNNNNNNNNNNNNNNNNNNNNNNNNNNNNNNNNNNNNNNNNNNNNNNNNNNNNNNNNNNNNNNNNNNNNNNNNNNNNNNNNNNNNNNGCCGUCAUAAAGGCGAGCGGGCGCGCCGAUGCUGGUUGCGGACGUUCGGCAAUGUCUCUGUGACGAUCGGAGAGGUAUAAGGGCCGUGACGAAGAUGGAGGGUGCCGAUGCAAUGUAAGGGCGAUAAGGGGUAGAGUGAAAGAAAAUGGGACCAAGAGGGGGGGGGUUAGUGGGUCUCGGGUGCCGGAGUCCUACGUGGCUACAUGCCGGACUCCCGCAACCCCCCCCCCCCAUUUUGUCUCCACUUUGCAGGAGAAAGCAUGUCCGGACCGCCAUGCGGAACGAUACGGGCCCAAGUUGAAUGGCACAACACGUCUGGACCACACUGCUCGAACGGUUGCGGGCAGUUUGAGGAUCGGCGUUGGAGAUGCCCAUAGUGCUUCAAAUUACCAUCAUUGCAUUUCAUACCUUUCAUGUUUACAUAUUAUUCAAAGUAGCACCAUUGCAUUUCAUAUUCUUCAUGUUUACAUAUUAGUUGGUACUUUUUCACUGUAGAACAAGCAAAGUUGGAUGAGCUUUCUCAAACACUUUAGGUGUUUAUAAACAAGCGAAGUUUGAUGCACGUCUCCACUAAGUCAUUUGGAGAGCUUUCAUUUAUUCAUAGCUUUAGUGAAUCCAUUGCAUGACAAUCGCUACUCCAUGCAUCAACAUCGAUUAUAUGACUUCUCCAUUACCUAAUGAUCAGUCACGUUGAUGCCAUACUUUCUUCCUUUUUGACUUCUUAUUAACCUCCAUUAUUUAUUUAUCUUUUUGUUUAAGUGUAAAGAUUAAGGCUCGCGCUAGAAAAUGCAUAACUCUAAGUUAAUUGAAACAAGAGAUUGUGUAGUUGAUAUACUUGACCAACACUCUGGCCACUUUAUGAUAAAAUUGUUUCUGAUACAAUUAAGACUUAGCAUACUAUGGUUUCAUGAUACACCUAACAUUGUAUCUGAACCUAAAAGGCAUUGGUGUAUUUGAUAUGAAAGCAUUGAUCCAUGAAAAGCGAGUGAUUUUACUUGCACUUUUUUAUGUUAUCUUCUUUUAUCAACUAUAAAACAUUGCAUUGCAACGUUGUUCUUUACCGUCAUACCUAAAUUACAUCAUAUUGAUUAUAAUUCAUGUUUGUAGCAUUUACAAUCAAAAUUUAUGUUGUUAUCAUCUAUCUGCUCGAGGACAAGUAUGGAUUUAGCCUGGUGAUGUUGAUACUUCUCAUAUAUGUAUAUUUCUUUGAUUGUUUCACGCUAGGUUUAUACUCCCUCCGUUUCUUUAUAUAAGGUGGAUUUGUUUUUUGAUGAAAUUCUAGAAUCUAAGGUGUAUUUCUUAUAAUUCUUCAUAGUUCCCUUGUCCGCCCACCAGAAAAAAGAAAACUAUCUUUCUCCUGAUUGUCUGUAUCUCUCCUUGUAGCAAAAGAAGGAAAGUAUCUCUAUGUCGAUUGCAUCUCUUACUUUCCUGGACUAACUGAUUUACCUGCCACUAACCAACAAAUUUGCCAAGGGUAAUUCCGUCCUAACAUGUCUAUAAUUAUGUGUUGGAAAUAUGCCCUAGAGGCAAUAAUAAAAGCAUUAUUAUUAUAUUUCCUUGUUCAUGAUAAUUGUCUUUAUUCAUGCUAUAAUUGUGUUAUCCGGAAAUCGUAAUACAUGUGUGAAUAAUAGACACCAACAUGUCCCUAGUAAGCCUCUAGUUGACUAGCUCGUUGAUCAACAGAUAGUCAUGGUUUCCUGGCUAUGGACAUUGGAUGUCAUUGAUAACGGGAUCACAUCAUUAGGAGAAUGAUGUGAUGGACAAGACCCAAUCCUAAACAUAUCAUAAGAUCGUAUAGUUUGUUUGCUAGAGUUUUCCAAUGUCAAGUAUCCUUUCCUUAGACCAUGAGAUCGUGUAACUCCCGGAUACCGUAGGAGUGCUUUGGGUGUACCAAACGUCACAACGUAACUGGGUGACUAUAAAGGUAUACUACGGGUAUCUCCGAAAGUGUCUGUUGGAUUGACAUGGAUCAAGACUGGGAUUUGUCACUCCGUAUGACGGAGAGGUAUCACUGGGCCCACUCGGUAAUGCAUCAUCAUAAUGAGCUCAAAGUGACCAAGUGUCUGGUCACGGGAUCAUGCAUUACGGUACGAGUAAAGUGACUUGCCGGUAACGAGAUUGAACGAGGUAUUGGGAUACCGACGAUCGAAUAUCGGGCAAGUAACAUACUGAUUGACAAAGGGAAUUGUAUACGGGGUUGCUUGAAUCCUCGACAUCGUGGUUCAUCCGAUGAGAUCAUCGAGGAGCAUGUGGGAGCCAACAUGGGUAUCCAGAUCCCGCUGUUGGUUAUUGACUGGAGAGUCGUCUCGGUCAUGACUACAUGUCUCCCGAACCCGUAGGGUCUACACACUUAAGGUUCGGUGACGCUAGGGUUGUAGGGAUAUGUAUAUGCAGUAACCCGAAUGUUGUUCGGAGUCCCGGAUGAGAUCCCGGAUGUCACGAGGAGUUCCGGAAUGGUCCGGAGGUAAAGAAUUAUAUAUAGGAAGUGCUAUUUCGGGCAUCGGGACAAGUUUCGGGGUCACCGGUAUUGUACCGGGACCACCGGAAGGGUCCCGGGGGUCCAUCGGGUGGGGCCACCUGCCCCGGGGGGCCACAUGGGCUGUAGGGGGUGUGCCUUGGCCUAUAUGGGCCAAGGGCACCAGCCCCAAGAGGACCAUGCGCCUAGGGUUCAAGAAGGGAAGAGUCUCAAAGGGGGAAGGCACCUCCUAGGUGCCUUGGGGAGGAGGGAUUCCUCCCUUGGCCGCACCCCCUAGGAGAUUGGAUCUCCUAGGGCCGGCGCCCCCCCCCUUGGACUCCCUAUAUAUAGUGGGGAAAGGAGGGCCUCUCAUAACACAUCUUUGGUGCCUCCCUCUCCCUCUCCAACACAUCCUCCUCCUCCAUAGUGCUUGGCGAAGCCCUACCGGAGUACUGCAGCUCCACCACCACCACGCCGUCGUGCUGCUGCUGGAGCCAUCUUCCUCAACCUCUCCUUCCCCCUUGCUGGAUCAAGAAGAAGGAGACGUCACGCUGACCGUACGUGUGUUGAACGCGGAGGUGCCGUCCGUUCGGCGCUAGGAUCUCCGGUGAUUUGGAUCACGUCGAGUACGCCUUCCUCAUCCCCGUUCUUUGAACGCUUCCGCGCGUGAUCUACAAAGGUAUGUAGAUGCAAUCCAAUCACUCGUUGCUAGAUGAACUCCUAGAUGGAUCUUGGUGAAACCGAAGGAAAAUUUUUGUUUUCUGCAACGUUCCCCAACAGUGGCAUCCUGAGCUAGGUCUAUGCGUAGUUCUCUUGCAUGAGUAGAACACAAUUUGUUGUGGGCGUUGAUGUUGUCAACUUUCUUGCCGCUACUAGUCUUAUCUUGCUUCAACGGUAUUGUGGGAUGAAGCGGCCCGGACCAACCUUACACGUACGCUUACGUGAGACCGGUUCCACCGACUAACAUGCACAAGUUGCAUAAAGGUGGCUGGCGGGUGUCUGUCUCUCCCACUUUAGUUGGAGCGGAUUCGAUGAAAAGGGUCCUUAUGAAGGGUAAAUAGAAGUUGACAAAUCACGUUGUGGCUUUCAUGUAGCUAAGAAAACGUUCUUGCUAGAACCCUACUUCAGCCACGUAAAACUUGCAACAACAAUUAGAGGACGUCUAACUUGUUUUUGCAGCAAGUGCUUUGUGAUAUGAUAUGGCCAAAGUUGUGAUGAAUGAUGAAUGAUCUAUAUGUGAUGUAUGAGAUGUUCAUGCUAUUGUAAUAGGAAUCACGACUUGCAUGUCGAUGAGUAUGACAACCGGCAGGAGCCAUAGGAGUUGUCUUUAUUUUUUGUAUGACCUGCGUGUCAUUGAGAAACGCCAUGUAAAUUACUUUACUUUAUUGCUAAACGCGUUAGCCAUAGUAGUAGAAGUAAUAGUUGGCGAGCAACUUCAUGGAGACACAAUGAUGGAGAUCAUGAUGAUGGAGAUCAUGGUGUCAUGCCGGUGACAAGAUGAUCAUGGAGCCCCAAGAUGGAGAUCAAAGGAGCUAUGUGAUAUUGACCAUAUCAUGUCACUAUUAUUAUUUGAUUGCAUGUGAUGUUUAUCAUGUUUUUGUAUCUUGUUUGCUUAGAAUGACGGUAGUAAAUAAGAUGAUCCCUCAUAAUAAUUUCAAGAAAGUGUACCCCCUAACUGUGCACCGUUGCGACACUUUGUUGUUUCGAAGCACCACGUGAUGAUCGGGUGUGACAGAUUCUAACGUUCACAUACAACGGGUGUAAGACAGAUUUACACAUGCAAAACACUUAGGUUGACUUGACGAGCCUAGCAUGUACAGACAUGGCCUCGGAACACAGAAGACCGAAAGGUCGAGCAUGAGUCGUAUAGAAGAUACGAUCAACAUGAAGAUGUUCACCGACGUUGACUAGUCCGUCUCACGUGAUGAUCGGACACGGCCUAGUUAACUCGGAUCAUGUUAUACUUAGAUGACUGGAGGGAUGUCUAUCUGAGUGGGAGUUCAUUAUAAUUUGAUUAGAUGAACUUAAUUAUCAUGAACUUAGUCUAAAAUAUUUAUAAUAUGUCUUGUAGAUCAAAUGGCCAACGUAGUCCUCAACUUCAACACGUUCCUAGAGAAAACCAAGCUGAAAGACGAUGGCAGCAACUACACGGACUGGGUCCAGAACCUGAGGAUCAUCCUCAUAGAUGCCAAGAAAGAUUAUGUCCUACAAGCACCGCUAGGUGAUGCACCUGUUCUCCCUGCAGAACAAGACGUUAUGAACGCUUGGCAGGCACGUACCGAUGACUACUCCCUCGUUCAGUGCGGCAUGCUUUACAGCUUAGAGCCGGGGCUCCAAAAGCGUUUUGAGAGACACGGAGCAUAUUAGAUGUUCGAAGAGCUGAAAAUGGUUUUCCAAGCUCAUGCCCGGGUCGAGAGAUAUGAAGUCUCCGACAAAUUCUUCAGCUGUAAGAUGGAGGAAAAUAGUUCCGUCAGUGAGCACAUACUCACAAUGUCUGGGUUACAUAACCGCUUGACUCAGCUGGGAGUUAAUCUCCCGGAUGACGCGGUCAUUGACAGAAUCCUUCAGUCGCUUCCACCAAGCUACAAGAGCUUUGUAAUGAACUUCAAUAUGCAGGGGAUGGAAAAGACCAUUCCUGAAGUAUUUGCAAUGCUGAAAUCAGCAGAGGUAGAAGUCAAAAAGGAACAUCAAGUGUUGAUGGUGAAUAAAACCACUAAGUUCAAGAAAGGCAAGGGUAAGAAAACCUUCAAGAAAGACGGCAAGGGAGUUGCCGCGCCCGGCAAGCAAGCUGCCAGGAAGAAGCCAAAGAAUGGACCCAAGCCCGAGACUAAGUGCUUUUAUUGCAAGGAAAGUGGUCACUGGAAGCGGAACUGCCCCAAAUACUUAGCGGACAAGAAGGCCGGCAAAACGAAAGGUAUAUGUGAUAUACAUGUAAUUGGUGUGUACCUUACCAGUACUCGUAGUAGCUCUUGGGUAUUUGAUACCGGUGCGGUUUCUCACAUUUGUAACUCAAAACAGGAGCUGCGGAAUAAGCGGAGAGUGGCGAAGGACGAGGUGACGAUGCACGUCGGGAAUGGUUCCAAGGUUGAUGUGAUCGCCGUCGGCACGCUGCCUCUUCAUUUACCUACGGGAUUAGUUUUAAACCUCAAUAAUUUUUAUUUAGUGCCAAGUUUGAGCAUGAACAUUGUAUCAGGAUCUCGUUUAAUUCGAGAUGGCUACUCAUUUAAAUCCGAGAAUAAUGGUUGUUUUAUUUAUAUGAGAGAUAUAUUUUAUGGUCAUGCUCCGAUGGUGAAUGGUUUAUUCUUAAUGAAUCUCGAGCGUAAUGCUACACAUGUUCAUAGUGUGAGUACCAAAAGAUGUAAGAUUGAUAAUGAUAGUCUCACAUACUUGUGGCACUGCCGCCUUGGUCACAUAGGUGUCAAACGCAUGAAGAAGCUCCAUGCUGAUGGACUUUUAGAGUCUCUUGAUUAUGAAUCAUUUGACACGUGCGAACCAUGCCUCAUGGGUAAAAUGACCAAGACUCCGUUCUCAGGAACAAUGGAGCGAGCAACCAACUUAUUGGAAAUCAUACAUACUGAUGUGUGCGGUCCAAUGAGUGUUGAGGCUCGCGGUGGCUAUCGUUAUGUUCACACCCUCAGUGAUGACUUGAGUAGAUAUGGGUAUAUCUACUUAAUGAAACACAAGUCUGAAACCUUUGAAAAGUUCAAGGAAUUUCAGAGUGAGGUUGAGAAUCAACGUGACAGGAAAAUCAAGUUCCUACGAUCAGAUCGUGGAGGAGAAUACUUGAGUCACGAGUUUGGCACACACUUAAGAAAAUGUGGAAUAGUUUCACAACUCACGCCGCCUGGAACACCUCAGCGUAAUGGUGUGUCCGAACGUCGUAAUCGCACUCUAUUAGAUAUGGUGCGAUCUAUGAUGUCUCUUACCGAUUUACCGCUAUCUUUUUGGGGCUAUGCUUUAGAGACUGCCGCAUUCACUUUAAAUAGGGCUCCGUCGAAAUCCGUUGAGACGACACCGUAUGAAUUAUGGUUUGGGAAGAAACCUAAGCUGUCGUUUCUAAAAGUUUGGGGAUGCGAUGCUUAUGUCAAGAAACUUCAACCUGAAAAGCUCGAACCCAAGUCGGAAAAAUGCGUCUUCAUAGGAUACUCUAAAGAAACUAUUGGGUAUACCUUCUACCUCAGAUCCGAAGGCAAGAUCUUUGUUGCCAAGAAUGGAUCCUUUCUAGAGAAAGAGUUUCUCUCGAAAGAAGUAAGUGGGAGGAAAGUAGAACUUGAUGAAGUAUUACCUCUUGAACCGGAAAAUGGCGCAGCUCAAGAAAAUGUUCCUGAGGUGCCUGCACCGACUAGAGAGGAAGUUAAUGAUGAUGAUCAAGAUACUUCUGAUCAAGCUCCUACUGAAAUUCGAAGGUCCACAAGGACACGUUCCACACCAGAGUGGUACGACAACCCUGUCUUGGAAAUCAUGUUGUUAGACAACGGUGAACCUUCGAACUAUGAAGAAGCGAUGGCGGGCCCGGAUUCCAACAAAUGGCUAGAAGCCAUGAAAUCCGAGAUAGGAUCCAUGUAUGAAAACGAAGUAUGGACUUUGACUGACUUGCCCGUUGAGCGGCGAGCCAUAGAAAAUAAAUGGAUCUUUAAGAAGAAGACAGACGCGGAUGGUAAUGUGACCAUCUAUAAAGCUCGGCUUGUCGCUAAGGGUUAUCGACAAGUUCAAGGGGUUGACUACGAUGAGACUUUCUCACCGGUAGCGAAGCUGAAGUCCAUUCGAAUCAUGUUAGCGAUUGCCGCAUUCUAUGAUUAUGAAAUAUGGCAAAUGGACGUCAAAAUGGCAUUCCUUAAUGGUUUCCUUAAGGAAGAAUUGUAUAUGAUGCAGCCGGAAGGUUUUGUCGAUCCUAAGAAUGCUGACAAGGUGUGCAAGCUCCAACGCUCGAUUUAUGGGCUGGUGCAAGCAUCUCGGAGUUGGAACAUUCGCUUUGAUGAGAUGAUCAAAGCGUUUGGGUUUACGCAGACUUAUGGAGAAGCCUGUGUUUACAAGAAAGUGAGUGGGAGCUCUGUAGCAUUUCUCAUAUUAUAUGUAGAUGGCAUACUUUUGAUGGGAAAUGAUAUAGAACUCUUGGACAGCAUAAAGGCCUACUUGAAUAAGAGUUUUUCAAUGAAGGACCUUGGAGAAGCUGCUUAUAUAUUAGGCAUCAAGAUCUACAGAUAGAUCAAGACGCCUCAUAGGUCUUUCACAAAGCACAUACCUUGAUAAGAUAUUGAAGAAGUUCAAUAUGGAUCAGUCUAAGAAGGGGUUCUUGCCUGUGUUGCAAGGUGUGAAAUUGAGCUCAGCUCAAUGUCCGACCACGGCAGAAGAUAUAGAAGAGAUGAGUGUCAUCCCCUAUGCCUCAGCCAUAGGUUCUAUUAUGUAUGCCAUGCUGUGUACCAGACCUGAUGUAAACCUUGCCGUAAGUUUGGUAGGAAGGUACCAAAGUAAUCCCGGCAAGGAACACUGGACAGCGGUCAAGAAUAUCCUGAAGUACCUGAAAAGGACUAAGGAAAUGUUUCUCGUUUAUGGAGGUGACGAAGAGCUCGUCGUAAAGGGUUACGUCGAUGCUAGCUUCGACACAGAUCUGGAUGACUCUAAGUCACAAACCGGAUACGUGUAUAUUUUGAAUGGUGGGGCAGUAAGCUGGUGCAGUUGCAAGUAGAGCGUUGUGGCGGGAUCUACAUGUGAAGCGGAGUACAUGGCAGCCUCGGAGGCAGCACAUGAAGCAAUUUGGGUGAAGGACUUCAUCACCGACCUAGGAGUCAUACCCAAUGCAUCGGGGCCGAUCAAGCUCUUCUGUGACAACACUGGAGCUAUUGCACUUGCCAAGGAGCCAGGUUUCACAAGAAGACAAGGCACAUCAAGCGUCGCUUCAAGUCCAUUCGUGAAAAUGUUCAAGAUGGAGACAUAGAUAUUUGUAAAGUACACACGGACCUGAAUGUAGCAGAUCCGUUGACUAAACCUCUCCCUAGAGCAAAACAUGAUCAACACCAGAAUUCCAUGGGUGUUCGAUUCAUCACAAUGUAACUAGAUUAUUGACUCUAGUGCAAGUGGGAGACUGUUGGAAAUAUGCCCUAGAGGCAAUAAUAAAAGCAUUAUUAUUAUAUUUCCUUGUUCAUGAUAAUUGUCUUUAUUCAUGCUAUAAUUGUGUUAUCCGGAAAUCGUAAUACAUGUGUGAAUAAUAGACACCAACAUGUCCCUAGUAAGCCUCUAGUUGACUAGCUCGUUGAUCAACAGAUAGUCAUGGUUUCCUGGCUAUGGACAUUGGAUGUCAUUGAUAACGGGAUCACAUCAUUAGGAGAAUGAUGUGAUGGACAAGACCCAAUCCUAAACAUAGCAUAAGAUCGUAUAGUUCGUUUGCUAGAGUUUUCCAAUGUCAAGUAUCCUUUCCUUAGACCAUGAGAUCGUGUAACUCCCGGAUACCGUAGGAGUGCUUUGGGUGUACCAAACGCCACAACGUAACUGGGUGACUAUAAAGGUAUACUACGGGUAUCUCCGAAAGUGUCUGUUGGGUUGACAUGGAUCAAGACUGGGAUUUGUCACUCCGUAUGACGGAGAGGUAUCACUGGGCCCACUCGGUAAUGCAUCAUCAUAAUGAGCUCAAAGUGACCAAGUGUCUGGUCACGGGAUCAUGCAUUACGGUACGAGUAAAGUGACUUGCCGGUAACGAGAUUGAACGAGGUAUUGGGAUACCGACGAUCGAAUAUCGGGCAAGUAACAUACCGAUUGACAAAGGGAAUUGUAUACGGGGUUGCUUGAAUCCUCGACAUCGUGGUUCAUCCGAUGAGAUCAUCGAGGAGCAUGUGGGAGCCAACAUGGGUAUCCAGAUCCCGCUGUUGGUUAUUGACUGGAGAGUCGUCUCGGUCAUGUCUACAUGUCUCCCGAACCCGUAGGGUCUACACACUUAAGGUUCGGUGACGCUAGGGUUGUAGGGAUAUGUAUAUGCAGUAACCCGAAUGUUGUUCGGAGUCCCAGAUGAGAUCCCGGACGUCGCGAGGAGUUCCGGAAUGGUUCGGAGGUAAAGAAUUAUAUAUAGGAAGUGCUAUUUCGGGCAUCGGGACAAGUUUCGGGGUCACCGGUAUUGUACCGGGACCACCGGAAGGGUCCCGGGGGUCCACCGGGUGGGGCCACCUGCCCCAGGGGGCACAUGGGCUGUAGGGGGUGCUCCUUGGCCUAUAUGGGCCAAGGGCACCAGCCCCAAGAGGCCCAUGCGCCUAGGGUUCAAGAAGGGAAGAGUCUCAAAGGGGGAAGGCACCUCCUAGGUGCCUUGGGGAGGAGGGAUUCCUUCCUUGGCCGCACCCCCUAGGAGAUUGGAUCUCCUAGGGCCGGCCCCCCCCCCUUGGACUCCAUAUAUAUAGUGGGGAAAGGAGGGCCUCUCAUAACACAUCUUUGGUGCCUCCCUCUCCCUCUCCAACACAUCCUCCUCCUCCAUAGUGCUUGGCGAAGCCCUGCCGGAGUACUGCAGCUCCACCACCACCACGCCGUCGUGCUGCUGCUGGAGCCAUCUUCCUCAACCUCUCCUUCCCCCUUGCUGGAUCAAGAAGAAGGAGACGUCAUGCUGACCGUACGUGUGUUGAACGCGGAGGUGCCGUCCGUUCGACGCUAGGAUCUCCGAUGAUUUGGAUCACGUCGAGUACGCCUUCCUCAUCCCUGUUCUUUGAACGCUUCCGCGCGUGAUCUACAAAGAUAUGUAGAUGCAAUCCAAUCACUCAUUGCUAGAUGAACUCCUAGAUGGAUCUUGGUGAAACCGUAGGAAAAUUUUUGUUUUCUGCAACGUUCCCCAACAUUAUGUGCCUUUACCACCGUGGCAAAAAUAAUACACCUUGCAUAGAGGAACGGAGGGAGUAUCAUUUUGGCAUAAUUUGGCAUCAACCUUUAUUAUUUUUCUAGACUACCUAUUUACUCAGCCAAGUGUCAGUUGUUGUUUUCUGCAUGUUUUUGAACUUUCAGGAACAUCAAUUUUACGGAGCUCCAAAAAUCCUUUCAAAAAACUCUAGAAAACAUUUUUCAACGAGAAGUUUCCAAAGGACUUGGGUCCCAUCUAGGACUCCACACAGCCAAGGUGCCCGCGUGGUACAACUAUGUGGCCCCCUGUGGCUUUGAAAACGUAUAUUUUUUUGUUCGCUCCAAAACCCCUAUACAUUGAGGAGUCUUUCUAUUUCCACAACCACACCUCUCUAUCUCAAAGUGAUACAAUCUAGAGGCCUUUUCCGGUGCUUUGUCGGAGGAGGAAAUCAUCUCAAUGUCUACGUCAACUUGAAGGCCACCAUGAUCGCUCGUGAGUAGUUUUCUUUGGACUAUGGAUCCAUAUCAAUAACUAGUUGGUUUUUCUCUCUAUUUCUUCUCAAUACAAAUAUCACAUGAGCUUCCCUACAUAAUUGUGAUCCAUUUAGUGUAAUUUGCUAAUGCAUUUGUUGCCAUGUGAUGAUUUUUCACUGUAUGACCAGAUCUAUCCAUUAAUUCUUUUGAGAUCAAUUUGGUUUCUUUGUUGCAUAAUUCUUACUCACAUAUGCUCACCGGUCUAUUUAUCUUUAUUUGGCCAAGUUUGAUGGAUGAUCUCCAAAAGGAAGUUGGGUUCAAUCUUGUAAGUAAUCUAUUGCAGUGAUAGGAAGUGGAAAAGGCUUGUAUUGUAUUGUAUUGUAUUGUAUUGUAUUGUAUUGUUGCCACUAGGGAUAAAAAUAUGAUUGUGUAGUUGUUCUUUUGAACGCGGGGUGAAGACAAUGUAUCAUAUACUUCGUGUCAUUAUACUUAAUGCAAUACUCUAUUUCUUUAACUUAAUACUUUGAUAUGCAUGUUAGAUAACGGUCUUGGGAUGGAGUAUUAGCUAUAGAUGCAGCAGGAUUAUGGUUUAUAGUUCUUUGGACAUGAUGGUGAUAUGCAACUAUACCAUGUAUAAUCAUACUCAUAAAAACUAUAAUUUAAUCGAUGAACAAGUGUAUUUUGUUCAUCACACCUUUCUACUUCUUUUGGAGAGAUAUCACUAGUGAACCUAUGGAUCCCGGUCCAUUCUUCUUCCUAUUGCUUUCAACCUCCAACAACGCUCUUUAAAAUUCCCUGUUUUAUUUCUUUGGAACUUUAACCUCCCAUACAUACUUGCAUUAAUCAUUGUAACUGACAAGGCUAGUAAGAUUGACAACCUUGCUAGUUUCGUUGGGGAUCAAGGCAGUUUUGUAUUUGUGUGUGUAGGUAUUGAUCAUUGGCUUCUUAGCAAACUCCUACUAAUUCAAUAAACCUUAGGGUCAUCCACUUUAAGGGAAAAUUGUUGCUUGCUAUAAAUAUUUACACUUGGGGGGUCCAACACCUUCCUAGUUGAGAAAAAGAGAUCCUGAAAACCAAAAAACCCAGGAAAGAAUUCCCAUGGUUUUCUCUUUGGACAAUUCAACACAUUAUGUCCCAGCCCAGAGCCAUCACACCCCAGUAAAGAUGGCAAUGGGUAGGGUACGGGGCGGGUAGAGCAAUACCAUACCCAUACCCGUGUAGUCAAUGUGUACAAAAUUCUACCCAUACCCGUACCCAUGGGUAUGAUACUUUACCCGUACCCAUACUCGACAGGUAACCAUACCCAUUGGGUACCUAAUGGAAAGUUCAAAUAGUACACAAGCUAUUCACAAUUUUACAUUCAUCUAUAGCACAUUUGACAAAAAAGCAUUGAUCUCAACUCAAUAACAAAUAGCCGAGUAGAUGAAAAUUAUCUCAAUUCAAAUUGACAAUUGGUAACAACUUUAACAUAGGUUCAUAAGCUCACAACACAACUUUAACAUAUGUACACUUGUGAUUGUGAAUCACGGGUAAGAUUCACAUGUCAAUAUAAAAUGGGUAGGGUAUGGUUAUAUCCAUGGGUAAAUGGCUAUACCCGUUCCCUACACAUGACUUAACGGGUAGGUGAAAGUGCGUUAUAUCGACUAGAGGGGGGGGUGAAUAGGCGAUUUUCAUGAAAGUCUUCAGAACAUAGAAGUUUUGAAGACAAACGAUAAAAUUAAACCUAUUACCAUGCAGCGGAAGGUAGACUACACUAGGCAAACCAUAGUCAAGUAUUCAAUGAAGUGAAAGCACAAAGACUAAUAGCAGCUAGGUAGUAAGGAUCAGGUAGGAAGAUAUUGUGAAGCCAAACAGAACACGCAGUCACUCAGUGAAGACAAAUGAUAGUACAAACAUACAAUGACUUCACAAGGAGUAACAGUAAGUAAAGGGAAGUGAAGAUGAAACCAGUGACUCGUUGAAGACAAUGAUUUGUUGGACCAGUUCCAGUUGCUGUGACAACUGUACGUCUAGUUGGAGCGGCUAGGUAUUUAAACCUUAGGACACACAGUCCCGGACACCCAGUCCUGAACACGCAGCUCAGGACACCCAGUCCUCACCGUAUUCUCCUUGAGCUAAGGUCACAUAGACCUCGCCCAACCACUCUGGUAAGUCUUCAAGGUAGACUCCCAAACCUUCACAGACUUCGUUCACCGGCAAUCCACAAUGUCUCUUGUAUGCUCAGAACGUGACGCCUAACCGGCUGGAGGAUGCACAGUCCUCAAGUGUAAUAAGUCUUCAGAUCACACAGACAAGAAGAUUUAAGUGAUACCCAAUUCUCUCUGGCUCUGGUGGUUAGGGCUUUAUCCUCGCAAGGAAUUCUCUCUCAAAGGCUUCGAGGUGGGUUGCUCUCAAACGACAAAAGCCGUACUAUCAAUCUGAGUAGCCAACCGUUUAUGGUUGUAGGGGGUGGGCUAUUUAUAGCCACUUGGCAACCCGACCUGAUUUGUCCGAAAUGACCCUGGGUCACUAAGGAACUGACACGUGUUCCAAUGGUCAGAUUUCAAACUCACACGGCAACUUUACUUGGGCUACAAGCAAAGCUGACUUGUCCGACUCUGGACAAGAAUCGCUCUCAUAGUCUUCACUCGAAGACAUAGGUUUUUGGUUUAGGCAUCACUUCAGUCAUUCUGACUGGUUCUCUUGGACACCACUUAACAGUACGGUGGUUCCUAUGACUCAACACAAAAGAAAAAGAACUACGACAGAUCUAAGUCUUCGAGCUCCAUAGGCUUCAUAUAGUGUCUUCUCUUGUCAUAGUCUUCAAUGUGAAUAUCUUCAUAUACCACCUUUGACUUCAAUGUCUUCAUACAUUUUUAGGGGUCAUCUCUGGUAGUAAAACCGAAUCAAUGAGGGACUUCUACCUGUGUUAUCCUGCAAUUCUCACAAACACAUUAGUCCCUCAACUAGGUUUGUCGUCAAUACUCCAAAACCAACUAGGGGUGGCACUAGAUGCACUUACAAUCUCCCCCUUUUUGGUGAUUGAUGACAAACUAGUUGAAGUUUUCAACGGGGAAUAUAAUCUGUGAAAUUUUAAAGGAUAAGGAAUUAUCUUCAUAAGUUGCAAGGGCUCCCCCUGAAGAUGUGCAUAUAAGUUAAUUUGCUUUUGGAAUGCAAAUGCACAUGGCAGGUUGUACUUGUGGAGAUCCACUUCAACUUAUGAUGACAAUCCACUAUGCAUGUGAAAGUAUAUGAAGAUAAUGACAUGCAUAAUGGAAAAUGGACGUCUGCAGAAUGAGCUAAGUGCGGAAUUUAUCGUCGCACAUGCGGAAUUUAUCUUCGCAAAACAAGGUGGCAAAUAAGUAGUAGACGAUCAUCUAGUCUAAGUGUUACAACUCAUAAGAACCAAAUGUAGCAAAAACGAGAGUUGUAAGCACGAAGCAAAAUAUAAAGCACCCGCCCAUAUGGACCCGCUUGAAGACUAUCAAUCUCAUAUGCUUCUCCCCCUUUUGUCAGUAAUGACCAAAAAGAUUUGAAGACAUAGAGCCUCUACUCGUUCCCACGAGGAGUAGGUGAAGUAGCAGGGUUGUUGGUGUUGUUUGGCGGUGCAGAAGAGCUUGGAGGUGCUGAAGGAGGUGGCGGUGAAGUAGCAUCGUCUUCUUCCUCAAUAAUUCUGGCAGUCACUGUGGCAGCAGAGGAAGAGAACUCAGAGUCUUCAAGGGAUAGAGUUCCUAGCAGCACAGCCCUUCGAGGAGGUGUGGAGUCAAACUUGAAUCUCUCAGUGAAGCCAUCCUAUUGAAGAUCAGCUUCAGAACACAUCAUCGUGAGCCCUUUCCAUGUGCGGCGACAGGUUUCAUGGGCAACGAAAGCAUUCUUGGUGGCAAGAUUUCGAGUGCGAUUAACAUCCACCAAGAGGCUUUUCAUCUGACGCUUCAACCAGUCAUGAUGCCUAUCCUGCUUCUGAUGUAGAGCCACAAGAAGCUCUCGGUCAUUGAGAACACGAGUGCGCUUCUUGGGUCUUGGAGCAGUGGCACUGUCAGUGGCUUCAGUGGAAGCAGGGUGUGGUGCACGUGUAGUGCCAGCCAAAGGAUACACCCGAGAAACUGCUUCAACUCCUUCAAUGUUCUGAGUAAAACUCUGAUGUUCUGCAUUCUGAAGACUUAGAGGUUGCUUGGCAGGCUCAGAAUAUAUGGCUUCGGUAGACAUGUCCACGUCAGGCAAGAAGAUCCGAUGAUUGCGGGCUGAGGGCUGAUACGAGAUGGCGGAGUGUAGCUUGAUCAGCCGCAUGACCCAAGGGGCGUAGAACUUCAAACCAAACAGAUCAAUGCCUGAUGCAGCAAGUUGGCGUAUGAAGAAGUCAUGUGCAUUGAAGCAUUUGCCAUGAAGUAUAUAGAAGACCAAAGUCUUCAUUGCACCCUGAAGCUUGGCAUUUGGAGAGUGCCCUUUGAUAGGCCAGAGAGUUCGCCUGAUGAUGUGAUAGAUGGUUCUUGGUAGAUACUCAAGGUCUUCAAUGAAGAACUCUGUGGGAUAAGCAGCAUCUUGGGGCAAUGGCUUCAUCAUGCUGAGCAUCUGACUCAUAUCAGGUUCUGGCCGCUGAAAGAUGCUCUCAAUAGCUUCAGUAUGCAGCUGACAGCCUUGCUCGAAGAGAUCGCCAGGAGUGGGCAAGCCAGUGAGCUCAAUGAUGUCAAAUGCAUUGGCUUCGUGAUGAACGUUGCCAGUCAUCCACUCCAGGACCCAAGUCUUCGGAUCUCUACUGUACCCUCUGAUGUGAAGUGUGGCAUAGAAUUGAAGCAGCAGCUCUUCAUUCCAAUGCUCUUCGUCAGUAAUGAACGGCAGCAGUCCAACUUUCUUGAAGCAAUCUAAAGCUUCUUCCAGAUAGGGCAGACCAGCUAUAGCUUCAACGUCAAGGCGCUUGUGUGGGAAGAUGCGACCUUGGUUGUACAGAAUGCAAGAGUAAUAGCUUCGCUGAGGAUAGCUCCAGAACCGAUCAGAUGGUAUCCUUUCCCUUGAGUAGGGGUUCCUGGAGCUAUUGAAGAACGUGUUGUCUGCCCUGAAGCCAUUGAUGUUGAAGGAGCCAGGUGCUGAUGCAGGACCUGAAAACCUUGGCUAUCUUGGGAUUGGCUUCUGGACCUGAGGCCUGUGCUCAACAUGAUAGUUGAAUUGGGGACCGGCAGCAGACUCAGGAACAGAAGUGGCGGGAUCAGUGGCUUCGCUGUCUUCUGAAGCUUUUGCUGGGGAGGGCUCCACAUUAGCUUCAUUGGUGGUUGUGGCAACCUCAUGAUUUUCAUCCUCCACUUGACUAGCUGGAGGGUCGGUCACAAGCACAUUCUCCUGGAGAACUGCUUCUUGGUGGGACAGGGGAGUGGGAUCUUGUGAGACUCCUUCUUCUGCGGCUGAUGCAGCCGGAAUGUCUUCAGCAGAGACCUGAGGCCUUGGACCUUUGCGAAGCCUGCGGAGCGCAGACGACACCUAUGAAAUUGAAGUGGGCUGGGCCUCAUAGUCUUCUUCCUCUUGUGGGCGAUCCGCCCAUGAAGCAUCCUGUGCAAUUGGCGUCAGUGGACGACCAAUGCUGAUGAGUUCACUGUUUUCAUGUUGAGGAAGGACUGCACCAUCUUCUACAUUGUCAUGUUGACCAAGGUCUUCAGCAGCGAUGGGAUCAGCUGCUGGAAUGUCUUCAGCUUCAUUAGCCUCUGUGGAAGCAGGCUCAUGAAUUGUCAGUUGUCGUUCAGCUUCAGGAUAGACCAUAGAAAUGGGUUCAACUAUCAAGGGCUCUGUGGAAGCAGCCCGAGCUUUCUUGGUCUUCCUCUUCUUCUUGGAGGGGGCAGUAGGUGAGGCUUCAGAGUGUUUCCUCUUCUUGUCUUCAGCCUCAGCAGUCCUUGUCUUCUUGAGCUCUGAAGCUGUUGACCGGCUUUUUGGCUUCGAGCCAGUCAGUCUAGUUGGGAAGACAAUCGGAACUGCUUCUUGCCUUGGUGCAUCAGGUUCAGCCGUAGCAGGCUUCUUCUCCUUCUUUGCGGCCAUCCUGGGGUCGAUGCCAUGACGCCCAAGUGCCUUGCGCUUCUCAGCCUCAUUAUAGGCUUGCACACAUCUGUCAGCCAGAGUCUUCAUGCGCUCACGCGAACCCUGAGCUUCUACACGCUUCUUCACAAAGGCUUCCUUGAGCUCGUGCAUCAUUGUCUUGAAGUUCUUCACUUCUUGCACGCUGAGCUUGGCCAUAUGCUUCUUGAACUGAGCCUUUUCAUAGUCAAUCUUCUGCUUCAGUUCAACAAUGCGCUGGGCAAUAGCAAGUUCUGAAGCAAUGGCGCCUUGGAAGGCGACACUGAGGCCAAUGGGUAGUUGCAGAUCUUCAAAGCUGAUGUUUGGCGUGUCAAACCACUCGUCAAUGAAGUUGUGGAUGAUGGUGACAUCAAAGAGAGGCAGAUCAUUGAAGAUUUCUGCUUCUUCUUUGCUCUUGAUGAGUUGCUCAAGAGCGUCAUCUGCAAGAUCUUCAUCACUUGACAGAACAAUGUCGUCAUUGCGCAGAAUGGCAGCAGCUAUUAGCUCUUUGCCAGUGUGAGACAGAGGCAUCUUGGCCUUCUGGGGCUUGGAGACGCGUGAUAAGUCUUCAGACUGCACACUGUUUUCAGGAGGUGCAGUUGCCAAUGGCUUCGCCCUUGAGAUUUUUGGUGAAGGGGCCGGCUUUGAAGCUUUUGGCUUCUUCAACUGCUUUGGCUUCGGCACUGCAGGCACGUCAUCAGACUCAGUGUCAGCUGCAGGCUCAUUCACUACAGUCCCUUGAACAAAGAUGUAGGUGAUGAGGUCUUCAAGGUUGGCGAAAGGACCGAUGACAUUGGGUUCUGCAUGUCGUGUGCCAUCUGCCCUUGGAGAUGAGGGACCAGGGUUGAAGUCUAACCCAAAAGUCUUCUUGUUCUGCUUUGCUGAGUUCUGAGCAAACUGGAAAUUGCGCUUGAACAGAUUGUCGUCACGACACCAUAGCAGUAACGACGAGUGUGCAUCAGCAGGCUGUGGUCCACGGACCAUGCAUGGAUAGAAGCCUUGAGCAAUGACUUCAUCUCUGGACCUGGGUAGAAGAUUCUUGAAUAGGAUGUUUCCCCACAGUCUCUUGAUGGCGUUUUUCUCAGCAUACUCCUAGGUCACAAAUCUGUAUUUGAACCAUUGUUCUGCCCAAUAUCUUCGAAUCCAUUGGACUCGGGUCUUGCGCUGACUGUAAUCCUCUUCAGGAUCUGUCUUGUACAUUUCUGAGAGUUCAUCUGGCAGAUCUCUGGAGGUCUCACCAUGACGCUUUCUGCCACCCUUCCUUACUGCUUUCUCUGAAGCCAUAAACUUUAACCCGAAAGGCUUCAAGACAUUCAAAGGCUUCAAAGGUUUUCGUUUGCUGGACCAACAGGAACUGGCUUCGGGAGAAUUUAUGUGAUGUUGUAAGAAUUCUGCAAAUGAAUGCAGACUAUGAGAACCAAAGGAUUCUCCCACGGACAUGUACCUGUGACAGCAUUAAGGUGCGAGGGAAGGGGAAGAGGUCAUAUGCAUUCUUAAAAGAUUUUGAAGAUAAAUCAGUUUAGAAGACAUUGACCUCAUCGUGCAAAGACAUUCACUCACAGAUAAGAAGUUGGUUCCAGAUUUGUACGAAUCCACAGAUCAAUACAAGUGAGGAAUCUAACUACUUUGUGAAGCACAAGUGAAUAUACUAGGCAUGUUAUGAGAUGCAGUAUGAGAGAGAUCUAGCUUGUGUGAACAGAAACUGCUUGUGGUAGAAAGUGACAAAUCCAUAGGAUCAAUGGUGUUGUAAAAAGAGGAAGUUUUAUUUACCACACUAAGAACUGCUAGACAGAGUGUAAGAUGAGGCCGAGCAGUUCGAUCUUCCGUGCCCUAACUUGGCGACGGAGGACACCUAUGGCGACGGCGGAGAGGACGAUGUCCGCGUUCGGCGUGAAGACGGCGUCGGAGAGGUUGCGGCAGCGAAGCGCUUCGUCGCCGACGUCGUCAGGGGCUAGCGGUGGCGCUAGGGUUCGUGCGAGGGUGGAAGAAGAGAUAAUGACCGCUGUGAGUGUGUAUUUAUAGGCACAAGGGCGGCACUGUGCUAUUACACAGGUGCCCCUGGCGAUUCGCAUCUGAGGAACAUGUGGCCAUUAUGCGGAAUUUUGGGGUUUGUUCCACGUCCCACGCACGCCUGGAUUGUCGGGUGGUCGUUCCUACUUCUCCAGAUUUCAUGUGGAGGAAUGAGCAUUGAAAACGGACUUAAUGGUUGUCUCUGUAUCUUCUGCUGACAAGGACGCAGAGAAGACAUACGACAGUUUCAAUAAAAUGCAUAUGACUUGGGGAGAUAGAGUUUGAGAUAGAAAGCAUAGAGAGGUUAGGGUCCGAUCACAUUCACUUAGUUCAAAAGAUUCAACACGAAGACAUAGCUAUAAGUGAAUGCUGUAGAGGACAGAACACUAGUGUGUGUGUAUAUAUAUAUAUAUAUAUAUAAUCAACAUAGUGAAGAUAAUCAUGAAUAUAUGUUGAGAUCGAAGCCAAACCAAAUGUGAAGACAUUGCAAGGUAACGCCAUGAGUGAAACACUUCAAGAUAGAACGUUUGGUGGUGGUGUUACCCACCGUAUAGGAAUUAUUAGACCCAGACACGGCGCGUAAUUAUCGUGGCGCUCUGAAGUCAAAUUCCACAUUAAUGUAUUCACACUUAGAAUGUAUGUCUUCAUUGAUUGAAGAUAUACUUUACUUUGUGUGUUGCACAUCUAAGUUAUCAAUAUGCAUAAGGGUUAGGAUGUGUGCCUGAUCACAAGACAUUUGAGGAUUCCAGGAUAUUUAGCUCACACCGUAACUUGCAAAACCUCUUCUCAUCCAAGGGCUUGGUGAAGAUAUCUAUCAAUUGCUCUUCAGUGUUGACGUGUAUGAUAUCAAUGUCUUCCUUCACAACAUGAUCUCUGAGAAAGUGAUGACGAAUUUCAAUGUGCUUUGUCUUUGAGUGCUGAACUGGGUUGUUGGCAAUCUUGAUGGCGCUUUCGUUGUCGCAGUAAAGUGGCACUUGCUUCAGAUGAAUGCCAUAGUACUUGAGUGUUUGCUUCAUCCACAGAAGCUGAGCGCAGCAAGAUCCAGCAGCAAUGUAUUCAGAUUCAGCAGUGGAGAGAGAUACACAGUUCUGCUUCUUUGAAGACCAACAUACAAGUGAUCAUCCCAGAAAGUGACAUGUGCCUGAUGUAGACUUGCGAUCAACUUUGUCACCAGCAUAAUCAGCAUCCGAGAAUCAGGCCACAAGGUGUUUCCUGAUUGCUAGUCCAUAUUUCUACUGAAGUUAAAAUGGACGUUGUAGCCAUCGUUGUCGCCAUCGCAGUCCUGACGCGUACUUGAGGAGGUGGCAACUUAUACUUGCCUCGCUCCCCCUCUUCUCGUCUUUGCACACUCAUCAGAGCAUGCUAUCUAGCAACCAACUCAUCUUCCAUGCAAGUCAACGCCAAGCACCUCUCCUCGUUUGUCUUCCUUUUCUCGGUGCAGCGACGCUCCUUCGCCAGUCAGAUCUCAUCCUCCCUUCGUUUGUUCUACACCACCACUUCGCCGCCAUUUAUUUUCGUCCCAUCUUCGACCUUCUUCUCACCUUUCUUGAUCCAGACCGAAUCUACCGUGACCCUGCCCAUCCAGAUGAGGUGGGUAACGACGGGAGGGGGUGAUGAUUCCCCUAUCUCUGAUCCAUCGCCGGUGGAGCAACAACUACUUGUGUGUAUGAUCUAGCGAGCACUCUAGGAUCAGAUUCGACACUUCUCAUUAUUAAUAUGAUGAAGAAAAACUUUUGCCUCCAUUAAAAAGACACGACGUGCCCACAUCGGCGAAAACAACACCAUGGUCUUCGUUCAAACGAUAAUCCAUUCAACGUGGUCAUCAACAAGUAAAAGGAAGAACAUAGAAGGUUUCAAUUAUAAGAUAAAAUAUCAAGAAAAAAUAUAUUAAAAAAAUAAAAUGUUAAUAAAAAGUGUCUUGAAAACAUUAAAAUUUCAUACAAAUAGGAAUCAUAAAAAACCGCUAUGAAAAUUCCUCUUUUCUUACAUACCCUUUUAUAUUUUUUCUUAUAGUAUGACAUCAUUGUUGCCCUAUAUGAUAACAUGUUAUUCAUGUAUCCAUCAAACAGACAUAAUACAUCCAACGUAGCCACCUAGGUAUAAAGAAGUAAACAAUUUUAGAAGGCUAUAAUGUUUUCACAAAGAAGAUGAUAUUAGUGCGUUGCCUUUGACUGACUCAUUUAAUGGUGAACAAAACCUCGAUAACUCUUUUCAAGGCCAAUCCUUCAAAAUAGGAAUGAUGCAUGUGUGUCCUUUGGAGUCUAUCGUGCAUCCCAAAACCCACAACCAUGGACGGAGCUUCCUUGUAAGCAAUGGGGUCAACUGAUCCCAAUGAAGUUAGCAAAUCCUUCACUAAUUUAAUACUAAUCAUUAUUCAUUUAUAGAUGAUGACCCCACUAAUAUAGACAUGAUCCCACUAAGUUUUUUCUAGCUUCGUCCUUUGCCCACAGCUACCACGAGAGUACAAGAGAUCAACGUAGUAGUGGUUAAGGUUUGGGCGUUUGGGUGUUGCCCACGGGAAGUACAUGGCAGACCGCUAUCGAGAAAGAGACCUCACACUUCACAUUUUUCUAGAUAUUUGUAGUUUUGUUUUAUAUACAACUUGAAAUUUACUAAAUUCACCACGAAGAGUAGAGAAUGCAUAAACUCAUCGAUGAUCACAAUUACUCUUAUGAGGUGCUUUCAAGAAGAAACAUAUAUAUAAAAAUACUAAGCUCCCCUAAAAUAAAGCUACCUGGUGGGUCAUGAGCCUUGUAGGCGGGAGGGCCUAUGAUGUCAGGCAUGUCAUACGACACUGUGGUAACCUGAUGGAUGUGCCGCACUUUAUUCUGUGAAUGGAAGGCUGAAUGUGAAGCAUCGUGCAUGCAUCCACUGAAAAGCGUCGUCUGCAUAGCAGUGUUCCUUCCCUAGAGACAUCAGGCCGGCUAUGUAUAGCACUUUCACCACCUCUUGACAUCAGAUCCAGCUAUGUAACUCCACCACCAAAAAUAAAAAAUGGUCAUCCAUCCUACCAUGGCUUAACCGCAAACAAAACAAGAAAAAUAAAAAAGAUACGUCCAGCCGAUAAACAACAAGAGCGCCAAAAAAAGCCAAUAGCAAAAUGCCCAAACAAUGGAGGCAGGCAAAUCUGAUGCAAUACAGAAAAAUGUAAGAUAUAAAUAGCUUGUGCUUAUGAAGAAAUACUAAUUAACGAAUGUCAUUAGUAAAGGGGUGUGUUCUUGAAGCAACCCCUCAAUAUGGAUAUAUAUAUACUCUUCAUAUCAAUAUAUAAAAUCGCUUGAUUCGUUCUCUCUCUCUCUCUCUUUUAACUUCAUUCUACAUUUUUUUCAUAUUUUUUGCUUUAGGUUUUCCUUUUUUACUUUUAUGAAAUAUUGUUGAACCACACACAUGCGCGCAGACACAAUUGUUUUGGAGAAAUACACGAACAUUUCUUAUUAAAAAUGCAUGAACAUUUUUUAAAAUCUCAAGAUCAAGUUUUAAAACUCAUUUUUUUCAUAUAUGUGAAUACCUAAAUGCGUGAACGUUCAAAAUAAAUAAAUACUUGAGCACAGUUUAUAACCACGUGAACAUUUUUUGAAUGCGUAGUCAUUUCUUAAAAGGAAAUAAAAGUGAAGAAAAAUAACAAACAAAAAGAAAAAGGAAACAUCUGACCAACCUAUGCUAAUGGGCCGUCCCAAUAUAUAAGGUAGCGGGCGCUAUAAAGGGUCCUAUCCGGGAUAAGUUUUGUGCUGUUGGGGCUCUAUGGCCAGCGCAAGUGUGAAUUUUCUCUAAAACACGCGUCGUAUUUAACCUUUUUUUAGAAGAGUGCUGUAUGUAACUAAACGAUGUCUUUUUUCUCACAUCUAAAACCGACCUCUAACAAACGUGGAGGACGGCACCACCUCCUAACAUAAUUUUGGAGGAGCCGGACGACGAAGCCUCAAAAUCAGAUAAAGAUCCUCUUCAAAAAAAAAUCAGAUAAAGAUGUCUCCGACGCAACUGGACUUCCACUAGAUUUUUAUAGGGGUCGGGAGGGAAAGAUAUGCUGUUUUCUAUCAGUCCCAAGCGGAUACUCCCCAGCUUUCACGGUCCGCUUACCGAAGAAGAGAUGCGGGAGGACCCAGGGCCAGAGCAAGUUGGGUUGGGGUAUAGAACCGUAAGCGCGGUGGGGGUGACAGAGGAUGUGCUCGUGCGGUUCAUAGUUGGGUAAGGAAAACCUUCUAGCUCAGUGUAACUAAAGUCCACAACCCAGAGACCAACCCUAGGGAAAAAAUUGACUCAUGACGAAGAAUGACGCGGCAAAGCGCAUGAUUGUUUCUUGUGUUACUUGAAGCCCACAAAAUGAAUUGACCCAUCUAACAAGUGGUUAUCUCCAUUCAAAAAUAAUUGACGCGGUUUUAGUUGAAUUUGUUUGAGGGGAUUUUACUUUUAGUUUUAACUAAAACCACAUCGGUUAUUUCUGACAGAGGUAAAAAAUCACAUGUCGGCGAGGCCUACUGAAUUAUGUUCUUGGUGACAAGUGUCUUGCCCAUGUAACACAUGUUUUCAGUGCUUCGACACAAGACCCACGCUGUAACCUCACUUGUCCUUCUGGGAAAAUACUCCGACAUAAUCUGAAUAAUAAUGCGACAUAGCGAGACUGGCAUAUCACUAGGAAUAUGGUCCCUGUCUGUUGUGCCAAAUACAAUUCGUGAUAAUUUGAAGCUCACAAAACGAGUCGGCGCCUCUAGCAAGUCAUUAUCAAGAAAGAGAAUCACUAGUCGACGAUGCCUGGAAAAAUUAGAUUUCCAAGAUUUCAUCCUCACUUGUUUGAGAAAUAUUCCAAUUUGGUAAUGUGGCACAUCAUUGAUAAUAGCUAGACGACGGGAUCACUGCACGAAAUGGUACCUGACCAUUCGUCUCUUCCAAAUACAAAUUUGGCACACGCGACGGCUGGACGCAUGUACCACCAUACGAGUAGCUGGUCCACGUCGGCCACUGCGAAAGGGCAGCUGAUUCCACACACUGUCUCUCCUGUCAAGCGGGCCCCACACGCCAGGCCCGCCGACGGAAGGGCCACGACGAACCAUCACGCACUAAAAGAAGAGAAGUUGCUCAAAAAGAAGAAGAAGAGAAGACAUCUAAAUCAAACAUAACAUGACGUCAUCUUAAAAAAAUGAAGCACACUAUAUAUUUCGCCGCAAGCAUCCGAAACAUGUACCACCCAUGACCAUACGAAAAUGAACCCAAACAGUUGUGAUCGACAUCCAUGAGCUGAUUUCCCAGAAAAGGCAUGCAUGGAUACACUAAAGCAAAUUUACAACUAACUUGCGGCCAUCCAUGAUUAAUCGUUCGAAUGAACUAAUUUGUGGCGAUGUGGCUGAGUGUGAGGGCAGGAAAAUCAUGUAAUGGGGGGCUUUUAUUUUGAUAUAGUAGAUUCAGCACGAAGAGUAGAGAACCCAUGCCCUCAUCGAUCAUCACAACUACUCUUAUGAGUUGUUUUCAAGAAUAUAUAUAUGACGUAGUUGUAGUGCUAGAAUGCGAAGCCCACAAAAUGAAUCGGCUCCUCUAAUGGGUCGUUAUCAAGAAAGGAAAAAGUCAUUAUCAAAAAUGAAAAUUAUAUGCCGGUGAGGCCAGCUAAAUCCAGCUAAAUUAGAUUUCUUGGUGAAAAGCGGCUUGCACAUGGACCACAUGUUUACAGUGUUUUUGAUACACAAGAUCUCAGAUGUAACCUCACUUGUCUUUUUGGGAAAAUACUCUGACAUAAUCCGAAUAAUUAUGUGGCAUGAUGAGACAUAUCACUGGAAAAAUGGUCCACAUCCACCUGCGCUAAAUACAAAUGUGUGAUAAUGUUAAGUUGCAAAAAUGGGCCGACACCUGUACCAAGUCAUAAUCAACAACAAUAAUCAGAUGUCGGCGAUGCGAUGCCUGUAAAAUUUUCUUUUUAUAACAAAAAAUAACUCCAAGGAGCCAGCGCGCACCGAAGAGAAAGACGCGUGGAGGAAAGUUAAAAGGAAAAGGGAAAAGGUUAAAAAAAAAAGGAAGACAGCGACGGAUCGAUCGGGAGCGAGCGAAGCGAACAAAAGCGCCCCACGGACCUCGCCGUCCUUCUCCAUGCCCUAGCGCGCACAGCACGGCACAGCCCACNNNNNNNNNNNNNNNNNNNNNNNNNNNNNNNNNNNNNNNNNNNNNNNNNNNNNNNNNNNNNNNNNNNNNNNNNNNNNNNNNNNNNNNNNNNNNNNNNNNNNNNNNNNNNNNNNNNNNNNNNNNNNNNNNNNNNNNNNNNNNNNNNNNNNNNNNNNNNNNNNNNNNNNNNNNNNNNNNNNNNNNNNNNNNNNNNNNNNNNNNNNNNNNNNNNNNNNNNNNNNNNNNNNNNNNNNNNNNNNNNNNNNNNNNNNNNNNNNNNNNNNNNNNNNNNNNNNNNNNNNNNNNNNNNNNNNNNNNNNNNNNNNNNNNNNNNNNNNNNNGAUCUGAAUUUCUGCACGGGCGGUCUCCCACGAGGAGUGGGGUGUCGCGGUCGCGCCGACGGUGUCGGGAUCGGCGGCCCGCCAAUCGCCGCGGCGGGGGAGUGGUCCGCGUUUCUCCGCUGAUUCGGCCUCCGCCGCUGGCAGAUCUGUUCGGAAGCGUGCGUGUGGGGUUCGGUCUAGAGGUCUGAUCGAGGUUCUGCCCGUGCCGCGGGGGUUGGUCGGGGGAUUCAGAAUCGUCGAUGCCGAAUUUUGCUAUGGCGAAUCUGCACCUCUGACGGGAUCUGCGGGUGCUGCUGGAUUCUGUUGUAAGAGCGCCCACCUUAAGGUGGUUGCAGUUGCGUUUAAUUGUUAGGUCUCCUUCGAGCCCUCGCCGAGUAAGAGUUAUGUAGAGUGUAGUUGUGCUUGCUGCGAGCCGUUUGAUGAUGUUGACUUGGAUUAUUUGCGCCAAGAGGAGGUGUUGCGCCUUUAUUAUUACUCCCUCCGUUCCAAAAUAGAUGACUCAACUUUGUACUAACUUUAUACUACAGUUAGUACAAAGUUGAGUCAUCUAUUUUGGAACGGAGGGAGUAUUAUGUUACUGCAUUACUGGGAAAAUUACCCUUGCCUUUUAUGGACGAAUAGGAUAAUUGAUGGAAACGUCAAUUACCUUUUAACGACUUUUUUACCUGCUGUACCCGCCACAUGCCGACAUUUUUGACAUCUUGUACACGCAGGAGUAUGAUUAACUACCACUAGAAUUGCGUAGGUCUUGACAAAGUUACGUCUCAUUUCUGCAGGUCUUUGUUUGCUGCCCUCCAACACUGUGCUGUGCAAUAACCUCUUGAUAACAUACCAAGUCAAGAGGUAAUCAUGGCCGAUUCCAUGGCGGAUUCGAUGGUGGCGAGCUUCUGGGGGCCGGUUACAUCAACCACUGAGCUGUGCGAGGAGAACUAUGCGCGCUCGUCAUACAUUGCAGAGUUCUACAAUACUCUCUCUAAUGCCCCGUGCAUUCUUUUGGCGCUUAUUGGGCUUGUGAAUGCUCUCCGCCAGCGUUUCGAGAAGCGCUUCAGCGUCCUGCACAUAUCCAAUAUGAUACUUUCCAUUGGGAGUAUCAUCUUCCAUGCAACCUUGCAACAUGUGUAAGUUUUUAGUUAACUGUACUGGUAUUCUUGGUUGGUAUUAAUUGUAAUCAUGCAAUUCUGGGAGUUAGCCCUUUUGCUUGUUGAAUGUUGUUCUUUCCUACUACGCGCAUCUUGCAAAUUGUGCACACAAUGAUUGAGUGGGUUUUGGUUACAACAUUUUAUCUCAUGUGGUAGAAACUAGGGUAAUUUCCUCUUUCUUUUUUAUUAGUUAUGGCUUUGCUUCAAAACAUCAAAGUUAAAAUUUAAGCUCCCUACCAUUUUGAGGAGAAAAAAGCUCUACAACGCCAGUUGUUAAUUUGCUCAGAGGUGGUUUCUUCCUUCACCGUGACCAUUUUCAUUAUCUUUUUGGCUGAUUUUCUCUCUACAGUGGUUACAGCUUAGUAAGUGAACAUGAUGUAGUAUUGGCGACUAUAAAUUGUUGAAAUACAGAGAACGUAUCAUUAUUUGUAGAUCUGAGUUUGUUAGGUACUAUCUCCCAUGACACACCUUUUACAUUUAGCGACUCGAGCUUGCAUUUGAUUGAGAGUUUCGGAUUACAGAAAAUAAAUGCACCUUUUAUGAACCUAUAUUUACUGCCAUUUGAAUCAUUUGCAGAAGAUAUUUUGUUAACAUGAAUUUGUGUUAAGUUUGUAUUAGUACUAUAAUAUAUUGCGCCCUGCUAUUGUGAUUGUUAUCUUGCCGUUCUUGACCUGAAUUUUUCUUUGAUCUCGCUGCUGUGGAUAUUCAAAGAAGUGCAUUUUACUUCCGCUGACUAUUGCUUACAACAGUGUUGUUAUUAUCCGUUGCACAAAGCCAAAAGCCAUAAACAAUACAUUCUUUGUUACUUCUAUGUGAUUCUGUUAGAGCACCUUGUAAAUUUUUGGUGAACGUUCCCUUUAAUAAUUUGAAAAUUUCCCUACUCUGAGAAGUUACAAAAAUACAGGCAAAUUACAAACAAAACAGGACCGUCUUUAUAGGUCGAAAACUUGGGUACAGAAGGUUGCAUUGAUAAAUUACAAGCCACAUUAGAUUGUUUUCUCCAUUGAGUCUUGCUUUCAAAACUCUAUGCUUAUUUGAUGUGAUGCACUGAUGAGUGAAUAUGCACUUGCGCACCCCAACGAGUGAUUUAUUUGGAAUGUUUUGAAUUAAAAAUUGGGCAUGUUUGUACUUAUGCCCUGGCUGACCAUCAACAACUGGUGCAGCUGUUCAUUGCUGAAAUGGUGUCUGUGUUAAAUGGUUUUCUUAUGUUUAUGACAAAAUUUCAGUAGUUACAGGCGCUCACUAUUUGCCACUCCUGUUGGUCCUUCAAAAAAUGCAUUAGGGUAAUCUAGCUGCCUUUUGGUUGGCAAAUUAGUAAAUUGGAAGUCUCCCGGAUAAAGCAACUUACGUGUUUUGGUGGACACACGAGGCCCCUCCCAAUGCUCCACCUUGUACAGGUGCUAAGGCUGCCAUGUAGGCUAAAAGUCUGAUGUGGCAAGGUAAUUAAGAGGAGAGAGGUGAGUGGUGACCCCAGGAAGAAACAAUGCGAAGCGCGAGAACCUAGGCAAAACAUUUAAAUGGAAGAAUCCCACCAAUACAUGAAGAACUUUAGUUGCAAAAUUAUUAAAUGAAGGAUGCUUAGCACCAACAAGUUAAGCACCUAUGCAUUGGGGGCUUUAGUUGCUAAAGUUUUUAAUGUGCUUAGCACCUCAUGUAAGCACCAAUGCAUUGGAAGUAGCCUGAUGCACAUCAUUAGUUACCACUUACCUCCUUAACAACUGUCUGUGCUGCAUGUACUUUGAAUUAUAAAUACCAUAUCCGUUACAUCACAAUCACAAUCAGUGAGUUGCUUCAAGUACUAUGUAGAGGGGAUGCAUUCCUGUAAUUAAGACCAUGAUGUGCAAGUUAAAAUUCAUUCUCUCUUAAUCUGUUGAGUAAAGGCUGUGCAUUUGAGUCCUCAUGGAUCAUCACAGGCAUUUUCUUGGUGUGCUUCUCAGUUUCAGCAUGUCUAACUAAAGCCAAAUUCUUCAUAUUAUUUUCUUUCUUUUUUGCUUUACUGCAUGCAAUAUAUAAUAUAAUAUAUUGAUUUGUGUUGGCCAUAUUUCGUUUUCCAGCUUACAGCAGAGUGAUGAGACUCCAAUGGUGUGGGAAAUCCUCCUAUAUCUGUAUGUCCUUUAUUCACCAGACUGGCAUUACAGGAGCACCAUGCCUACUUUCCUUGUCCUAUACGGUGCUGCAUUUGCUGUAGUUCACUUCUUCGUGCGAUUCCAAGUAGUAUUCAAGUUGCAUUACAUUGGCCUCUGCCUUCUCUGCAUCCCGCGGAUGUACAAGUACUACAUUCAGACGAAAGACCUGGCUGCCAAGAGGCUCGCGAAGCUGUGGGUUCUUACCAUAUUCCUGGCGACAGUUUGCUGGCUAGUUGAUCGCAUCUUCUGUAAGAAGCUCUCGCUCUGGGUCAUCAACCCGCAGGGACACGCAUGGUGGCAUGUGCUUAUGGGCUUCAACUCUUACUUUGCAAACACAUUCUUGAUGUUCUGCCGAGCUCAGCAGCGUGGGUGGGAGCCGCGCAUUAUCCACCUCUUUGGAUUUUUGCCUUAUGUCAAGAUUCAGAAAUCCAGAAAGAGGGAGUAAGUCAUCUGUCGAGUCGAUCAGCGGUGUUCUGCAGGACCAGAAAUCUAAUGUCCACCAAGCGCGCAAAAAAACAAGCGGUGGCAUUUUUUGUAAAUGGGCUUCCAAGUGAUUACGGACUACAAAUGAAUGUCAGUCAGUGAUGUCUCGAUUGAUUUUGGUAACUUUUAACUAACGCCCUGUUUUGUACCAUACUCGAUUUCAACCAGAGAUUAGCUGGAGUGCCCGUCUCUUACUUUCAAUCUGCAGCAGUUUGUCUUUGCGAACUUAUAGGACUUCUUAUUUUUAUUCUUUGAAUUUGACUUGAAAUGGGAUUGAAUUGUAUUAGUUUAACUUACUGCUGGGGUUGGAUGGUGUCAGAUUCAUGUUCGUGGUAACAGUUGAUUCUUUCGUUAAUCGAUGCUAUUUGUGAACUAGUGCCUGGAGGCUGGUGUGUAUUACGUUUGAUCUUUGUGCACCAGCUGAUUGUGGAAGCAUGGCUAUGAGUCUUAGAGCAAUUUUAUUUUCCUAAUUGUUCAUUGAACUUGCUCACACAAGCAAAAGGGUAGCCAUCAAGGUGCUGAAAGUUGAAAAUGAAGGUUGAAACGCACACAUUUCUGCUCGCCAUUGGUUUUCUCCCGGUUUUUUGAAUUAACUGGGCGAUUCUCUUCUUAAUUAAUUUGAUUGAUGGGGCAACACUUUCGCCUCCGUUUAGGAGAAGAAAAUUCUGCUCAUCGUGUCAUCAUCCUAUACCAUGCUUCUGGCCUGUGCACGUCAUGCCUGUACUUGUCUAGUGAUAGUCUUGAUGGAAUGAUGGGGACCCUUGACUGCCAAUGUCGAAUCAAUGCUUCAGCCCAUGAGCCAUGUCUAUGAGGCUGCCGACUAGGAAGGAGUGGAAAUCGACACAGUAGUUAGUUUUGGGGACAGGGAUUGAUGUAAAGGGGAUCGUAAGGGCAACUCCAAACGGGAGUCGCCAAAUGUCUCAACCAGCGUGUUCGGACAUUUUUUGCCAUCCACCGGCAGUCAUCAAAUAUCUGUAAACUAACCCGAACGUUUGAAAUCACACAAACAGCCCCCAAACUUAUAGGUGGCUGUGCCUAAGACCAACGACAAAGCGCUCUGAACUUAGGGAAGGAUUGGGGGAGUCCGGACACACGAACUCAGCCUUGAACCCAUCAUAAAUUCAUUUUGUAUCUUUCUUUUCUCUGAUCUUUGCAUUGGACAAGGGACGGGUAUUUGUAAAUGCUAACCUGGACGUUUGAAAUCCCACCAACAGCCCCCAAACUUAGAGGAGGUUUGGGGGAGUUCGAACACGCUAACCCGGCCUUGGACCAACCACAAAUCGCCCCUAAACUUAGGGGAGGGUUGAGGGAGUCCAGACACACAAACUCAACCUUGACCCCAUCAUAAAUUAAUCGUUUGUCUUUCUUUUCUAUGAUCUCUACAUUGGACAAGGGGCGGAUAUUUGUUGGAUGGCCGGCGCCCUGGAGUGCCAAUGUCGACUUCAAUCCAUGAGGCUGCCGACUACGUAGGAAGGAGUGGAGAUCGACAUGGUACUUAGUUUGGGGGGAAUGCAUUGAUGGCAAAGGGGAUUGUAAGGGCAACUCGAAACGGGAGUCAUCAAAUCGUCAAAUGUCUGAACAGGCGUGUUCAGGCAUUUUUUUGCCAUCCACCGGCAAUCAUCAAAUAUCUGUAAACUAGCUUGGACAUUUGAAAUCCCACAAAUAGCUCCCAAACUUAAGAGGAGGUUUGGGGGAGUCCGAACACGCUAACUCAGCCUCAGACCAACCACAAAACGCCCCGAACUUAUGGAAGGGUCGGGGGAGUCCGAACACACGAACUCAGCCUUGAAUCCAUCAUAAACUCAUUUUCCAUCUUUCUUUUCUGUGAUCUCUGCAUCGGACAAGGGACGGAUAUUUGUUGGAAGGCCGGCACCACCAUCACUGUCCGCAAACACAUCCGGACAUUCGAGGAGGUUCGUUUUGGUGACCUCCCUUGGAGAAAAAGUACGUUCCAAACAAUAUUCUACAUCUAGAACCGCCCCACUGUCAAAAACUGGUGCAAUAAUAAGAAUCAUAUCGCGGCUACGCGUCCUCCGAAUGCCGGCACGAAUUCGAAUCAAGAUCUAGGGUGAAAACGGGGAUAAGAUUCCACGAUCUCCACACUGACUAGUCGGCGCAUUAUCUCGCUCACACUUGGCCAAUAAAAAUGCACCCACCACCCCUGAAAUUCCAUCUAUCUACCAGUCAAGAAACAAAACCCUGGUUGCAUCGACCACCAGUCACAAGAAAUUCAGGAGCACUUGAGAUGAACCAAGAUUCGACAGCGAAAAAAAUAAACCGAAACGAUUUCACAUUAUUAUCAUUGCAAUUAUCAUCCAUGAACAAUAGAGGAAUCAACAACAUCUUCUGACCAAAAACAAGGCCAUGGUGUAAAUCCUCUCACAAAUCAUGUUGAAGGAAGAAUUAGAAUUAAAACAUAUUUGGGGACCUGGAACUAUAGCAUGCCCGGGUAACCAUUUAUACCCCGUCAGUACAUCAAGUAUCCAUGUCAUCACAACAAUAAACAAAAUAAACAGCAACCACCAAGGUAAAAAAAGAGGAAAGAAUUCUGGCAUGGCACAUGAGCCUUCUUCUUUUAAAAUUUAAUAUAACAGGGUUAAUUAACAGAAUAGACAACUAAAUCUUUUCUGGCUGAUGAGAUGAACUGAAGCUGCCGGGGUGCGAUUCUCUCUACCUCCGUUCGGCCCCAAACUGAGGUAGGUAACUCCACUCUUUAAUUUAACCUCCUACUGGAAAUGGAAACUCAAUAGUUGUGUAUUGAUUUACCUCCCAAAAAUUAACGAAAACCAAUCCCUGAAUCACCGCCUUCAGCUAUCCAUCCAUCCUUUUCGCUUGCUUGCUUGCUUGCUGACUGACCACCGCAAUGAACAGAAAAUCAAAAAAAUACUUGCAAUUCUUCUUUAGCUAACAAUGGUAACUUCUUCUCGCACCUCCCCCCCGGGCUCGUCUGGUUGUUCGUCUAUGUUGCUGCUAGACUACCAAUCUGCUCGUCAAGCUGCAUCUGCUCGAGCAGCGCUCCAAUAACCGCGGCUUGGUCAUGUCGGUUCAGCUGCGUGCUCACACUGGGGCCUUCACCAUUACUUACACCGGGAUGCAUUUGAGGUGAAGGUCUAACAGAGUUGUUGAUGGAUUCAGCUGUGGUCACUUGCUUCUCUGGUGGAGACUCCUUGACCAGUGUGUGCACCCAGGAGAGAUCUGGGUCGUCGCCGCCUGAUCUCAGCUCAAAGGAAGAUGACCGGCGAAGCUUACCCAAUUCUUCACCGUUGACGCCCCAAUCCGGUGCCCCUGAAGGAGAUCCCCACUUGGACCAUGAUGAGCUCAGAGGAGAGCCAACAGCAGCCGAUGCUCUUGCAGCACUGGGCCCGAGAUCGCGAGAACUGAGGCUCCUCAUUGUCUGCUGGUGCUGUUGGUGCUGCUGCUGCUGUUGCUUCUCACGCUGGGCAAGGGCGGCAGCUAGGUGGGAGUUCAUCGGUGACCCAGAUUCGACGCAGCGGGGGGACAUCCGGCCAGGGGAGGAUAUCCCAAGUGAUGCUUGCAGGAGGGAUGAGCGUGAAUGCAUCUGCUGGUUAUCCACAGCCUUUGGCGAGAACCCUGUGUUGAUUGGUGAAAGAAGUUGCUGCUGUUGCUGGAACUGGUUAAGGAUAGCAGCCUUCUGGGAAGGUGAAAACAUAGCACCCUGAUCAGCAUUGUUGUACCUCGGGGACGAGACCAUCUCGGCAGAGAAGAGAUCAUCCAGGUUUGAAGGGUUCAGACUCUUGGUCCGAGAACUGUGGUUCCCUCCUGCUGAUGAACCAAGACGCGAGUAGCACAGAUCGUUUAUAAGCUGGGAAUCAAUAUCCUGCAACAGGGAGUAGUCAUCCACAGGCAUAUCCCUUGCAUUGAGUGAGCUUCGGAGUCUGCUCGACUGAAGGCUGCUGCCCGGAAGGUGUAGCGUCGGAACAUUUGGCUGCUGCCAGCCCAGAGAAGGGGGCAUCCCAUUGCCAGAAGGAGACCUCGGUGGGGUAAAUGGGGACAUGACUACCGAGACCGAUGACGGAGAACCGGGCAUCAAGCCCAUUGCUGCUGCCAUCUCCAUUGCAGCUGUUGCUGAGGCCCUAGGGGAUGGCACCGCAGACCCAGUGGAGACAUACAGCGGGCGGAGCUCAUCGGUGGUGUGCGCAAAGAAACAGACGCGGCGAUUGCAGCCGGUGCCAUCCUUGCAAAGGCGAGUGCGGUAUUGCGCUGGGUGGAGCCAGCACUCAAACACCCCAUGAGCAUACUCACACAUGUCUCCACGCCGGCACACACCCUUUCUGAAGUCAGGGCAUGGAACACAACUGUAGUGAUACUUGCGCGGAUCGCGGCGCCGAGCGUUCUCCCCAGGGUGCACAAAGGGGCACUCGGUCCAGUCAUGCGAGUAUGCCCGGGAGCACGGCCUGAUCUUGAAGGAGUACAUGCGGAACUCAUCAGAGGCAUAGAUGCUGUUCUUGAUAUCCGGCAGGGAUGGAUCCACUGGGUAUUCCUUCUUCUCUGAGGUUGCAACCCUCGGCAGGUCUGGGAACUUUGACAUCAUCAUCACAGCAGCUGAUGGAGACCGGGCGUCCUCGGCGGUGGGUGAUGACACCGGCGACGAGGUCAGGUUUGUGGCCCUGGUCACCACCCGGAGCACGCCAUGCCCAGACUUUGGGAGCCCAAGCAGAUCUUGGAGGGCGAUCUUCGCAUCAAUCAUCUUUGGCGGCACAGAGAUCACAUCGGCCGGACGGCACCCGGACGCAUCUGCGGCAUCGGCGUCAGCCCCGGCCACCAGAAGCAGCCUGACGGCCUCGACGGCCGAGGACGAGCCGCCAGAGGCGGCGCAGUGGAGGGCGGUGGUGCCGUCGGGGCCGCAGCGGCGGUUGACGUCGACGGAGGGGACGGACAGCAGCAGGCGGAGCGCGGCGAGGCUGCCGUAGGUGGCGGCGACCAUGAGCGGGGUGCGCUGCUCGAGGGCCUUCCGGCGGCCGUACCAGAGGCCGGCCUCGUCCGCGGCGGCGGGGGGCGCGCGCUCCAGCGCGCGGCGCAGGCCGUCCGCGUCGUCGUCGGCGGCGAGCUCGAGGAGGCCGGCGAAGGCGUCGUCCGUGUCGACGGUGAGGUGCCUGGCCAUCUCGGCGACCGCAUUCUUCUUGGGCGUCGUCGCGGCGUCGGCGCCGGCCGCCGCGGGGAUCGGCGCGCCGUUCAUCUUCUUGGCUCGCCGGAUCGAAGCGACUGAACCAAAAAAACAUGAGUCAAGAAGCCAGUCAAGCGAGGUCCGAAAUAGCACGGCGAGAUGGACUGGAAACCUGCCGAAUCGGACGCGAAAUACAACGGGAAAGGGAGGAAAAACCGAGGCUACAAAAAUGGAAGCGCGGCGACCGAAUCCACGGAAAGAUCUCCGGGGAAGCAAAAACCAAUCUUUGGCUAGAUCAGGAGCCCGUCAAAGCUCGGGCCCUCGGCCGGAGCCGCCACCCGGCAGAUCGGAGCGAGGAGAGGGGGACGGAGCGGAGCCUGACCUGUGCACGGCGGCAGCUUGUGGCGCGGCGGACCAUGUCAGUAGCACGCCAUGGGCGACGUCGCCGGCGGAAAGAUCCCGGAAAUCUCCACGGAGAGCCGAAUCUGGGGAGAGCGGGAGGGCGUGGUGGUGGGUGGAAGCGGCCGGCCGGCGCGGUGUUCAGGGCAAAGAUUUGGGGGCGAUCUAUCUACUAUCCCCUAUCCGGUUCGCGAUUGAUGGGGGAAGAAGAAGCGGAAGCAUGGGGUGUGUGCGGGGAGGAGAGAGAGAGANNNNNNNNNNNNNNNNNNNNNNNNNNNNNNNNNNNNNNNNNNNNNNNNNNNNNNNNNNNNNNNNNNNNNNNNNNNNNNNNNNNNNNNNNNNNNNNNNNNNNNNNNNNNNNNNNNNNNNNNNNNNNNNNNNNNNNNNNNNNNNNNNNNNNNNNNNNNNNNNNNNNNNNNNNNNNNNNNNNNNNNNNNNNNNNNNNNNNNNNNNNNNNNNNNNNNNNNNNNNNNNNNNNNNNNNNNNNNNNNNNNNNNNNNNNNNNNNNNNNNNNNNNNNNNNNNNNNNNNNNNNNNNNNNNNNNNNNNNNNNNNNNNNNNNNNNNNNNNNNNNNNNNNNNNNNNNNNNNNNNNNNNNNNNNNNNNNNNNNNNNNNNNNNNNNNNNNNNNNNNNAAAUGGAUAAUUUGGUUGUGCUGCCUAGUGUUGAGUGUGUGCACAAGUAGUAGUUGCUUGGUUUAGCAAAAACACAUAUCAUGUCUUAGCUAAAACAUCAUUUGCUUUGUUUAUGAUUUGGUCUGUGUAGCUCUAUGCUAAGCUUAUUACUCAUUUUGAAAUAAGACUUUGGGAAACUCUGACAUAAGUACUCGGUAACAAUAACAUAAGGCAAUAUAUGGCGCGCCAGGCGUGGCCCUAUGCGGAAUUCUUUCCUUUAAUGUAGACUCGCCAAAAUGAUGUGUAUGCCUGCCUCCCACAAUUUGACAGCUCUAUAGUAUGUCGUGUGCCUGAAGGCGCAAAGCAAAACAAAACUUGCAAUAGCUUUCUCUGUGACAUGAUUACAGCAAGAAUCAUGCGACCGGCGCCAUCCCAGGCGACCCCCACGUUUCCAUAACCGGCGCCAUCCCACACGUACGGCACGGCAGCGCGAGUGCGGGCGGUGCGGUGCGGGGCGUCCCUGUCUGUCGCGUCGCGCCUUCCUUCUCGAAACUCACGUCGCCCCGCUUGUCGGCACCGCACCGUCUCGUCGGCUUGCGCUGCGCCGCGACGCCUUUUCCACCGGACGUCCACGUCCACGUCCGUGUCCCCUGUGACAAUGGGCGUGACGUCGCGCCAGGGGCGAGCGAGCGACUCGUUCGGUUGGUGCGUGGCGGCACCCGGGGACAAGGAGGAGCCGACCGAGCUCUCUUCCGGCCGCGGACCGGCGCGCCCGGCAGCCGGGGAAAAAAAUUAUAUGAGACCAGGUCUCAUGGUUAGUAGGUGAGACCCGUCCUGAUGGAUGAUACGUGGUUAGCAGGUGAGACCCGUCGUAUGGAAAAGCAUCUAAUCUCUUUUCCCCCUAUUUUAAAUGGGGGAAUGGGGGAUGCUUUGUGGUUUUGUGAAUGGUACGUGUCAACCAUCAGAAUGGGCCUCGCGUGAGACCUGGUCUCAUAGAAUUCUUUUCCGGCAGCCGGUGGCGAUGUUUCGAGCCACGGUGCCGGAGCAUGCAGCGGCAGUGGCGACUGACGGACCUGUUUCCAGCCAUUGUCGAGGGACCGUGAGGCCUUAUACAAUGCUAGGUGAUUAGAGAGAUGCUUAAAAAAAUAAACCAGGUUUUCUAAAGCAUCGGUGCCUAUUUCUACACGAGAGACGCCUAAUUAAGCGUCUACCCUGUGUAAAUAAGCACCGGUGCUUAAGAAAAGCCUGAUUUAUUUUUUCAAACGUCUUUUCUAAACACCUUUGCAUUGUACAAGGCCUAAGGCCAACUCCACCGCACAACCCCAAACAAACGUUCGAUUUGGCCGAAUUUUGUUUCUUUGUGGCAAUAAUGGAUUCGCCCAUGUCCGUGUCUGUUCGUUGGAUCGUGGGUGCGUCCAAGCGUGGCCGCACCCCAAAUCAUGUAUGUGUUGGACGUGAUUAAAAAACAGAAAAACUAAAAUAAAAUGAUUAAGAAAAGUAAAUAAACGCAGUUAAAAAAACUUAAAACAUAAGUUCGGGUUCACGGCCACAAAACGGCCCAGUUUCACGGUUCACAUUGCCAUAAUUAACAUAAAAAAUAAAAUAAGAACGGCCGCCGCCCGCGCGCUCCUGCCGUGCCUGUCAAUGCCGUCGCCGUUGCUGUCUUUAGUGGCCACCGGUGUCGUCAUCGUCGCUGACGAGGCCGAGCUACUUAGGCGGCGUCCAGAGGUGGGCCGGCGGAGCGUGGUGGACGGGGGUGGGCUGGAAGGCGGGAGGUGCCUGCACCACCUCCUCCCGUGGCGACGCGUCCCGCUCCGGUGACCGCGGCGGCGUGGGGCACCAGUUCGCGACCCCACGGCGUCGGCCAUCUCCGGAGCCAAGCACAACCAGCUCCAGUGCUGCCCAACCAGGGCCGGGUGGAACGCGGUCACCAACUCCUCCUCCGCCCUCGCCAUAUCCAGCACGGGGAUGGCGACGUCGCCGACCGCAGAUAGGGCCAUCGUCUCCUCGAGGCCCGGCCAUUGGCGCUCAUCGUGCGUGUUCAUGGAGUCCUCCGUGACACAUUGCAUGAGCCGGGCCUCCUCCUCCGCAGUCAUGCGAGGAGGUGAAGGUGGCGACGAAGAUGGGGACGGCGACGGCGUGGGCGUGAGGCCGCGCACCCGCGUACGCCCGCGCACCUCCCGAUGUGGCCGCCGCGGCCCCGACAUCGUGUCGUCGAAGUAGGAAGCGCGCCGCACGUCGUGCUCGUCCUGAAGCCACGUUUCCCAGAGCCCGGAGUCGGGGGCGUACCUUUCGUCGUAGUAGAGGUCGUCGGGGAGGAGACGGCGUCGGUGCGUGAUCUCAUCGUGGCGCGCACGCCCGCUCAUCGGUGCCGGCGGGAUUGGGACCCGGUCGGCGGAGAGGUGCCAGUUGUUGGGCAGGUGGACGUCGCUCCACAUGACCGGCGUCCGCGUCUCCCAAUAACGUCGGCAUACGUCCAUGCCCAGCUACUGCCGGUCGCGCUCGCCGGCGGCCCUAGGGGCGAUGCUGAACGGGGCAGGCGCGGGGGCCCUACGCGGCGGCGAAGCGACUUCCUCUUUCACGGAGCCGCGGCGGCACCCCGAGGAGGAGCUGGCCUCGCAGUCGUGCUUCCUUUUGCGGCCGUGGUUCCAGAACCCCAUGGCUGCGAGGCGGCCGGCCGACGAGCUCGAGGACGGGGAGAGGCUAGGAUUUUAGGGGUGACGGGUUUCGAGGAGGCAGCUGGCUGGAAGUGGAAGUGUAGACGACGACGACCGGUCCACGGCCUCCCCAUUUAAGAAGGACGAUGACUGUGCGCCUGGGCGGAUGACAGGUAGGGCCGAUCACGCAUGCGCAUUGAUGUGGGAGGGUGGGAGGUAGGUGGUCGUCUGUCACGCAGCCCCGUCGCGGACGAGCAUCGCGUCCGUUUGCUGUCCGCCGUGACCCAAACUGGACGCAUGUUUGCGCUCAAAAUGGGUCGGCGCGGACACAAAACGGAUCAGAUGGGUCCAGGCCGUCACGCGCUAGGCCGUCUGAUUUGUCCCUUUUACCCCAAACGGACGGGACCGAACGGGAUGGCGUCGCGCGGUGGAAUUGGCCUAAGAGCAUCUCCAGCCGCGCCCCAAGAAGGCCCCCCGGGCGAUUUUUCGGCCGCCGGCGAUGAAAAAUCGGCCCAUUCGUGCCCCCAAAGGCCCUUUUUUCGCCGGCUCGGGUCGAAAUUGACGCUGGCCGACCCAGGCCGAACCCGACGCGCUGGGGGACGCCAGCCGAAACAUUUUUGGCGCAAAAAUCGGUGGACCCUCCUUGGCAGCGACUCGGCUCUUCUCGCCGCUUCGUCGCCCUCAUCGCCUCGGUCCCCGUGGCGGAAUUGAUGCCAAAGCUGCCGAGCCGGUCAGCCUCCUCCAUUGAUGCCUCACAGGCGGCGCAGUGAAGACGGGACGACGCGUGUCCCUCGCCCGCCACGCGUACGCGCGGCGCAUACGCCUACGUAGGUGACUGGUUCGUUGGUGCGUGGCCGUGGCGGCACCCGAGGACAAGCAGGAGCCGACCGAGCUCUCUUCCGGCCGCGGACCGGCGCGCGCCCGGCAGUUGGUGGCGAGGUUUCGAGCCAUCGUCAAGGGACCGUAACGCCGUAGUCUUCUCCACCUACGCCGGUGCAAAUUGCACUCGUGCGGUCUCGACCACUCCGUGCGACAGACUCACAGCGCAGACGCGUUCGGGUUAGCUGCACAUCAGGGCAUCUCCAACGUUUUUUUAAACACAGUACAGACACAAGCGCUCGUAUACACGCACGCACACUCACCCCUAUGAACGCACAGGGCAUCUCCAACGUUGAACCAUCAAAACGCCCGUAAAUGCUUAGGUCGGGCUGUGCCGUCCGAGCAUUUUUACGAUUUUGACAUGGAUCACCGAAUCGUGUCAGACCGUUCGGACGUCCGAAAUCUUGUAACGUAAGUCGGGUCUACAUCAAGGGUGCUCUUUCGAAGAAGUCAUCGUCUCUUCAUAGGAUUUUGUUGGUCGAAGUAUCGGUGCACGCGCCUGUUUCGUCCGGCUUUAUAUCGGCAUCACUCUUCACAAGUCUAUUAUUUUGAAGACUGGUUUUUCUUCUUCGAAAAGCCGGUCUCCGCAUCAGGGUAAUGCAUAAAUUUAUUUUAUUAAUUAUUCGUCAAGACCUUAUAAAGUUGGGUGUGCCUAGGUCUAAGUCAAGUCUCAGCCAAAUGACAUAGUAUAUAAUAAUAAGAAGAAAAAUAAAAUAAACAAUUGUAUGAAUCUCCAUGCAAGAUCAAGGGGGAUAUAGCAUCGACUGAGACAUAACGAAGACUCGGUCGACCGAGACUUAACAAAACUGCACAAAGUAAUACAUCAAUAAGUCUAAAGCCAACCGGGGAGCAGUUGGGGGCUCCGGCGCAAGGGAAAAGCAUGGCUGGCCCACGCCGUCAGGGGAAAAGUCAAGGUCUUCUUCCCCGAUUCGCCUCCCACCCCCCGUGCCCUCGGCCACCACUAGCUAUAUCCCGGCGCCGCCCGCCGCCCUUCACCGCUAGAUAGCCAUUCCCCGUCGGAAAAAUAGCAGCGCUUCGCAGCGGCAGCCCCUCCAACAGCAGCUGGGCGUUUCCGACCGCCGUUCCCGACCGCGAAGGAGAAGUUUAACGGCGGGUACACACCUACCGGGUGCAAGGUGUUCGAUGAUUUGCCUGCCUCGGUGAUGGACUCGGAUGACGAGGAAGCGCUCACCGCGCUGCUGGAGGAGGAAGCCGAGGCAGACGUUGCUACCUCUUGAGCACUGCGUUGGAUUUCCCCGAAUAGGAGAGGAUGAUGCAGCAAAGUAGCGUAAGUAUUUUCCUCAGUUUCUGAGAACCAAGGUAUCAAUCUAGUAGGAGGCCACGCACAAGUCCCUCGUACCUACACAAAAACAAUAGCUCAGCGCAACCAACGCGCUUAGGGGUUGUCAAUCCUUUCACAGUCACUUACGAAAGUGAGAUCUGAUAGAGAUGAUAAAUAAUAUUUUUGGUAUUUUUGAUAUAGAGAUGCAAAGUAAAAAGUAAAAGCAAAGCAAUAAUAAAGUGAUGGAGAUUGAUAUAAUGAGAAAGAGACCCAGGGGCCAUAGAUUCCACUAGUGGCUUCUCUCAAGAGCAUAAAUAUUCUACGGUGGGUGAACAAAUUACUCUUGAGCAAUUGACAGAAUUGAGCAUAGUUAUGAGAAUAUCUAGGUAUGAUCAUGUAUAUAGGCAUCACGUCCGAGACAAGUAGACCGAAACGAUGCUGCAUCUACUACUAUUACUCCACUCAUCGACCGCUAUCCAGCAUGCAUCUAGAGUAUUAAGUUAAAAACAGAGUAACGCCUUAAGCAAGAUGACAUGAUGUAGAGGGAUAGUUUCAUGCAAUAUGAUAAAAACCCCAUCUUGUUAUCCUCGAUGGCAACGAUACAAUAUGUGCCUUGCUGCCCCUUCUGUCACUGGGAAAGGACACCGCAAGAUCGAACCCAAAGCUAAGCACUUCUCCCAUGGCAAGAACAACCAAUCUGGUAGGCCAAACCAAACUGAUAAUUCGAAGAGACUUGCAAAGAUAACCAAUCAUACAUAAAAGAAUUCAGAGAAGAUUCAAAUAUUAUUCAUAGAUAGACUUGAUCAGAAACCCACAAUUCAUCAGUCUCAACAAACACAAUGCAAAAUGAAGAUUACAUCGAAUAGAUCUCCACGAGAGAGGGGGAGAACAUUGUAUUGAGAUCCAAAAAGAGAGAAGUAGCCAUCUAGCCACUAGCUAUGGACCCGUAGGUCUGAAGUAAACUACUCACACUUCAUCGGAGAGGCUUGGAUGAUGAUGUAGAAGCCCUCUGUGAUCGAUGCCCCCUCCGGCGGAGCUCCGGAACAGGCCCCAAGAUGGGAUCUCGUGGAUACAGAAAGUUGCGGCGGUGGAAUUAGGUUUUUGGCUCCGUAUCUGAUCGUUUGGGGGUACGUGGAUAUAUAUAGGAGGAAGAAGUACGUCGGUGGAGCUUCGAGGGGCCCACGAGGCAGGGGGCGCGCCCUCCACCCUCGUGACCGCCUCGUGGCUUUCUUGACGGAGGGUCCAAGUCUCCUGGAUCUUAUCUGAUGAGAAAAUCACGUUUCCGAAGGUUUCAUUCCGUUUGGACUCCGUUUGAUAUUCCUUUUCUUCGAAACCCUAAAACAGGCAAAAAACAGCAAUUCUGGGCUGGGCCUCCGGUUAAUAGGUUAGUUCCAAAAAUAAUAUAAAAGUGGAUAAUAAAGCCCAAUAUAGUCCAAAACAGUAGAUAAAUAUAGCAUGGAGCAAUCAAAAAUUAUAGAUACGUUGAAGACGUAUCAAGCAUCCCCAAGCUUAAUUCCUGCUCGUCCUCGAGUAGGUAAAUCAUAAAAACAGAAUUUUUGAUGCGGAGUGCUACUUGGCAUAAUUUCAAUGUAAAUCUUCCUAAUUGUGGUAUGAAUAUUCAGAUUCAAAAGAUUCAAGACAAAAGUUCAUGUUGACAUAAAAAUAAUAAUACUUCAAGCAUACUAACAAAGCAAUUAUGUCUUCUCAAAAUAACAUGGCCAAAGAAAGCUAUCCCUACAAAAUCAUAUAGUCUGGCUAUGCUCUAUCUUCACCACACAAGGUAUUUAAAUCAUGCACAACCCCGAUGACAAGCCAAGCAAUUGUUUCAUACUUUUGACAUUUUCAAAACUUUUUCGAUCUUCACGCAAUACAUGAGCGUGAGCCAUAGAUAUAGCACUAUAUGUGGAAUAGAAUGGUGGUUGUGGAGAAGACAAAAAGGGAGAAGAUAGUCUCACAUCAACUAGGCGUAUCAACGGGCUAUGGAGAUGCCCAUCAAUAGAUAUCAAUGUGAGUGAGUAGGGAUUGCCAUGGAACGGAUGCACUAGAGCUAUAAGUACAUGAAAGCUCAACGAAAGAAACUAAAAUGGGUGUGCAUCCAACUCGCUUGCUCACGAAGACCUAGGGCAUUUUGAGGAAGCCCAUCAUUGGAAUAUACAAGACAAGUUCUAUAAUGAAAAAUCCCACUAGUAUAUGAAAGUGACAGAAUGAGAGACUCUCUAUAAUGAAGAUCAAGGUGCUACUUUGAAGCACAAGUGUGGUAAAAGGAUAGUAACAUUGUCCUUUCUCUCUUUUUCUCUCAUUUUUUUAUUUGGGCUUUCUCCUUUUUUUAUGGUCUCUUUUUUCGUCUAGAGUCUCAUCCCGACUUGUGGGGGCAUCAUAGUCUCCAUCAUCCUUUCCUCACUUGGGACAAUGCUCUAAAAAUAAUGAUCAUCACACUUUUUAUUUUUCUUACAACUCAACAAUUACAACUGGAUACUUAGAACAAGAUAUGACUCUAUAUGAAUGCCUCCGAGGGUGUACCGGGAUAUGCAAUGAAUCAAGAGUGACAUGUAUGAAAGAAUUAUGAACGGUGGCUUUGCCACAAAUACGAUGUCAACUACAUGAUCAUGCUAGCAAUAUGACAAUGAUGGACCGUGUCAUAAUGAACGGAACGGUGGAAAGUUGCAUGGCAAUAUAUCUCGAAAUGGCUAUGGAAAUGCCAUGAUAGAUAGGUAUGGUGGCUGUUUUGAGGAAGGUAUUUGGUGGGUGUAUGAUACCGGCGAAAAGUGCGCGGUAUUAGAGAGGCUAGGAAAGGUGGAAGGAAGGAAAGUGCGUAUAAUCCAUGGACUCAACAUUAGUCAUAAAGACCUCAUAUACUUAUUGCAAAAAUCUAGAAGUUAUCAAAGCAAAGUAUCACGCGCAUGCUCCUAGGGGGAUAGAUUGGUAGGAAAAUACCAUCGCUCGUCCCCGACCGCCACUCAUAAGGAAGACAAUCAAUAAAUAAAUCAUGCUCCGACUUCAUCACAUAACGGUUCACCAUACGUGCAUGCUACGGGAAUCACAAACUUUAACACAAGCAUUUCUCAAAUUCACAACUACUCAACUAGCAUGACUCUAAUAUCACCAUCCUCAUAUCUCAAAACAAUUAUCAAGCAUCAAUUUUUUCUUAGUAUUCAACGCACUCAAAAGAAAGUUUUACAAAUCUUGAAUACCAAGCAUAUUAUUAUUAAACAAAUUACCAUGCUAUUAAUACUCUCAAAAUAAUCUAAGUGAAGCAUGAGAGAUCAAUAGUUUCUAUAAAACAAAUCCACCACCGUGCUCUAAAAGAUAUAAGUGAAGCACUAGAGCAAAGUUAUAAAGCUCAAAAGAUAUAAGUGAAGCACAUAGAGUAUUCUAUCAAAUUCCAAAUUAUUUAUGGAUCUCUCAAAAGGUGUGUACAACAAGGAUGAUUUUUGUAAACUAAUAAGCAAAGACUCAAAUCAUAAAAGAUGCUCCAAGCAAAACACAUAUCAUGUGGUGAAUAAAAAUAUAGCUCCAAGUAAAGUUACCGAUAGAAGUAGACGAAAGAGGGGAUGCCUUCCGGGGCAUCCCCAAGCUUUGGCUUUUAGGUGUCCUUAGAUUAUCGUGUGGGUGCCAUGGGCAUCCACAAGCUUAGACUCUUUCCACUCCUUGUUCCAUAGUCCAUCCAAUCUUUACCCAAAACUUGAAAACUUCACAACACAAAACUUAAAGUAGAAACUCGUGAGCUCCGUUAGCGAAAGAAAACAAAAGACCACUUCAAGGUACUGUAAUGAACUCAUUAUUUAUUUAUAUGGGUGUUAUACCUACUGUAUUCCAACUUGUCUAUGGAUUAUAAACUAUUUUAGUAGCCAUAGAUUCAUCAAAAUAAGCAAACAACACACGAAAAACAGAAUCUGUCAAAAACAGAACUGUUUGUAGUAAUCUGUAGCUAGCGCAAGAUCUGGAACCCCAAAAAUUCUAAAAUAAAUUGAUGGACGUGAGGAAUUUAUAUAUUAAUAAUCUCCAAAAAUAAUUAACUAAAUAUCACUCUUAAAAUAAAAAUGACAGCAGUUCUCGUGAGCGCUAAAGUUUCUGUUUUUUACAGCAAGUUCAACAAGACUUUCCCCAAGUCUUCCCAACGGUUCUACUUGGCACAAACACUAAUUAAACACAAAAAACACAACCAAAGCAGAGGAUAAAUAAUUUAUUUAUUAAUAAACAGGAGCAAAAAGCAAGGAAUAAAAAUAAAAUUGGGUUGCAUCCCAAUAAGCGUUAUCGUUUAACGCCCCUAGCUAGGCAUAACAAGCAAGAAUAGAUCUAGGUAUUGCCAUCUUUGGUAGGCAAUCCAUAAGUGGCUCUCAUAAUAGAUUCAUAUGGUAAUUUUAUUUUCUUUCUAGGGAAGUGUUCCAUGCCCUUUUUUAAUGAAAAUUGGAAUCUAAUAUUCCCUUCCUUCAUAUCAAUAAUUGCACCAACCGUUCUAAGGAAAGGUCUACCGGGAAUAAUAAGGCAAGAAGGAUUGCAAUCUAUAUCAAGAACGGUAAAAUCUACGGGCACAUAAUUCCUAUUUGCAACAAUAAGAACAUCAUUAAUUCUUCCCAUAGGUUUCUUAAUAGUGGAAUCCGCAAGAUGCAAGUUUAGAGAGCAAUCAUCAAAAUCACGGAAAUCUAGCAAAUCGCACAAAGUUUUGGGAAUAGUAGAGACACUAGCACCCAAAUCACACAAAGCAUAAAACUCAUAAUUUUUAAUUUUAAUUUUAAUAGUAGGUUCCCACUCAUCAUAAAGUUUUCUAGGGAUAGAAACUUCCAAUUCAAGUUUUUCUUCAUAAGAUUGCAUCAAGGCAUCAGCGAUAUGUUUAGUAAACGCUUUAUUUUGACUAUAAGCAUGAGGAGAUUUUAGCACGGAUUGCAACAAGGAAAUACAAUCAAUCAAAGAGCAAUUUUCAUAGUUAAAUUCCUUGAAAUCCAUAAUAGUGGGUUUAGCAAUAUCUAGGGUUUUAAUUUCUUCAAUCCCACUUUUAUCGAAUUUAGCAUCAAGAUCAACAAAUUCCGAAUUCUUAGAACGCCUUCUAGGUAAAGGUGGAUCAUAUUCAGUCCCAUCAUUAUCAAGAUUCAUAUUGCAAAACAAAUAUUUAAUAGGGGACACAUCAAUAACUUUUAGAUCUUCAUCAUUAUUUUCAUAGGAACUAGAAGAACACGCUUUUACAAAAGCAUCUUUCUUAGCACGCAUCCUAGCGGUUCUUUCUUUGCACCCGUCAAUGGAAAUUCUCAUGGCUUUGAGAGACUUAUUGAUAUCAUGCUUAGGUGGAAUAGAUCUAAGUUUCAAAGAAUCAACAUCAAGAGCAAUUCUAUCACCGUUCCUAGCCAAAUCAUCAAUCUUAAGCAAUUUUUCUUCAAUCAUAGCAUUAAAAUUCUUUUGCAAAGAAAUAAAUUAUUUAAUAUUAGAUUCAAAAUCAGACUGCAUCUUAUUAUAAUUUCCAUAAGAAUUGUUGUAGGAAUUACCAUAAUUAUUAGAGGGAUUACUAGGAUAAGGCCUAGGAUUGAAAUUUUCUCCAUACGCGUUGUUACCAAAAUUGUUCCUACCAACAAAAUUCACAUCCAUAGAUUUAUUAUUAUUCUCAAUAAAAGUAGACAAGGGCAUAUCAUUAGGAUCAGAAGAAACACUCCUAUUGGCAAAUAAUUUCAUAAGUUCAUCCAUCUUUCCACUCAAAACAUUAAUUUCUUCUAUCGCAUGCACCUUUUUAUUAGAUCUUUCAGUAUGCCAUUGAGAAUAAUUAACCAUAAUAUUAUCUAGGAUUUUAGUAGCUUCUCCUAAAGUGAUUUCCAUAAAAGUGCCUCCCGCGGCCGAAUCUAAAAGAUUUCUAGAAGCAAAAUUCAAUCCGGCAUAAAAAAUUUGUAUAAUCAUCCACAAAUUCAAACCAUGAGUAGGGCAAUUACGUAUCAUUAAUUUCAUUCUCUCCCAAGCUUGUGCAACAUGUUCAUGAUCAAGUUGUUUAAAAUUCAUAAUAUCAUUUCUAAGAGAGAUGAUCUUAGCGGGAGGAAAAUACUUAGAGAUAAAAGCAUCUUUGCACUUGUUCCAUGAAUCAAUACUAUUUUUAGGCAAAGAUGAAAACCAAGCUUUAGCACGAUCUCUAAGCAAAAAAGGAAAUAACUUCAAUUUAACAAUAUCAUUAUCGACAUCUUUCUUCUUUUGCAUGUCACACAAAUCAACGAAGCUAUUAAGAUGGGUAGCGGCAUCUUCACUAGGAAGGCCGGAGAACAGAUCUUUCAUGACAAGAUUCAACAAAGCAGUAUUAAUUUCACAAGAUUCAGCAUCGGUAAGAGGAGCAAUCAGAGUGCUAAGGAAAUCAUUAUUGUUGGUAUUGGUGAAGUCACACAAUUUAGUAUUAUCUUGAGCCAUCGCGACAAACAAGCAAUCCAACACACGAGCAAACAAAAAGCAAACGGGCAAAAGAGGCAAAUAGAGAGGGAGGAUAGAGAGAGAGGGGGCAAAUAAAAUGGCAAGGGUGAAUUGGGGGGAAAGGAAAACGAGAGGCAAAUGGCAAAUAAUGUAAUGCGGGAGAUAGGGAUUGUGAUGGGUACUUGGUAUGUUGACUUUUGCGCAGACUCCCCGACAACGGCGCCAGAAAUUCUUCUUGCUACCUCUUGAGCACUGCGUUGGAUUUCCCCGAAGAGGAGAGGAUGAUGCAUCAAAGUAGUGUAAGUAUUUCCCUCAGUUUUUUAGAACCAAGGUACCAAUCCAGUAGGAGGCCACGCACAAGUCUCUCAUACCUACACAAAAACAAUAGCUCAACACAACCAACGCGCUUAGGGGUUGUCAAUCCCUUCACAGUCACUUACGAAAGUGAGAUCUGAUAGAGAUGAUAAAUAAUAUUUUUGGUAUUUUUGGUAUAGAGAUGCAAAGUAAAAAGUAAAAGCAAAGAAAUAAUAAAGUGAUGGAGAUUGAUAUAAUGAGAAAGAGACCCGGGGGCCAUAGGUUUCACUAGUGGCUUCUCUCAAGAGCAUAAAUAUUCUACGGUGGGUGAACAAAUUACUGUUGAGCAAUUGACAGAAUUGAGCAUAGUUAUGAGAAUAUCUAGGUAUGAUUAUGUAUAUAGGCAUCACGUCCGAGACAAGUAGACCGAAACGAUUCUGCAUCUACUACUAUUACUCCACUCAUCGACCGCUAUCCAGCACACAUCUAGAGUAUUAAGUUAAAAACAGAGUAACGCCUUAAGUAAGAUGACAUGAUGUAGAGGGAUAGUUUCAUGCAAUAUGAUAAAACCCCAUCUUGUUAUCCUCGAUGGCAACGAUACAAUACGUGCCUUGCUGCCCCUUCUGUCACUGGGAAAGGACACCGCAAGAUCGAACCCAAAGCUAAGCACUUCUCUCAUGCCAAGAACAACCAAUCUAGUAGGCCAAACCAAACUGAUAAUUCGAAGAGACUUGCAAAGAUAACCAAUCAUACAUAAAAGAAUUCAGAGAAGAUUCAAAUAUUAUUCAUAGAUAGACUUGAUCAUAAACACACAAUUCAUUGGUCUCAACAAACACACCGCAAAAAGAAGAUUACAUCGAAUAGAUCUCCACGAGAGAGGGGGAGAACAUUGUAUUGAGAUCCAAAAAGAGAGAAGAAGCCAUCUAGCCACUAGCUAUGGACCCGUUGGUCUGAAGUAAACUACUCACACUUCAUCGGAGAGGCUUGGAAGAUGAUGUAGAAGCCCUCCGUGAUCAAUGCCCCCUCCGGCGGAGCUCCGGAAUAGGCCCCAAGAUGGGAUCUCGUGGAUACAGAAAGUUGCGGUGGUGGAAUUAGGUUUUUGGCUCCAUAUCUGAUCGUUUGGGGGUACGUGGAUAUAUAUAGGAGGAAGAAGUACGUCGGUGGAGCUUCGAGGGGCCACGAGGCAGGGGGCGCGCCCUAGGGGGGAGCCCUCCACCCUCGUGACCGCCUCGUGGCUUUCUUGAUGGAGGGUCCAAGUCUCCUGGAUCUUAUCUGAUGAGAAAAUCACGUUUCCAGAGGUUUCAUUCCGUUUGGAAUCCGUUUGAUAUUCCUUUUUCUUCGAAACCCUAAAACAGGCAAAAAAUAGCAAUUCUGGAUUGGGCCUCCGGUUAAUAGGUUAGUUCCAAAAAUAAUAUAAAAGUGGAUAAUAAAGCUCAAUAUAGUCCAAAACAGUAGAUAAUAUAGCAUGGAGCAAUAAAAAAUUAUAGAUACGUUGGAGACGUAUUAGACGUCCAGGAAGAAGAGCAUCUGAUGGUGCUCGCCGCCCUCGCCCAGCUGCUGGCGAGCAAUGAAAAGCCGCGGCAAGGUGGCUCGGCGCCUGGGCUGGUGAAAGCAAAGAACCGGCAUCGUCUCGAAGGCUACUACAUGCUCUACUCCGACUACUUCGCCGAUGCUCCACUUCACGGCGAGAAAACAUUUCGGCGCCGUUAUCGGAUGAGCCGAAAGCUCUUCCUCAGGAUUGUGAAUUCCAUCCGGGAGUUCGAUAACUACUUCAAGUGCAAGAUGGAUUGCACCGGCGCUCUUGGAUUCACCUCCAUCCAGAAGUGCACGACAGCGAUGAGGAUGCUUGCAUAUGGAGCUCCCGGUGAUUCACUCGAUGACUAUGGGCGCAUGGCCGAGUCCACCAGCAUAGAGUGUUUCUACAAGUUCUGUCGGGCAGUGGUGGCAGUGUUUGGACCACAAUACUUGAGAACACCCAAUGCGGAAGACACUGCUCGGAUCCUAGCACAAAAUGCAGCAAGAGGACUUCCUGGGAUGCUUGGAAGCAUCGACUGCAUGCAUUGGAAAUGGAAGAAUUGCCCAUUUGCUUGGCAGCGGAUGUACAAAGGCGCCAAAGGUGGUUGCAGUGUCGUGCUUGAGGCGGUGGCUGCACAGGACCUUUGGAUUUGGCACUCCUUCUUUGGUAUGCCAGGAACUCACAAUGACAUCAACGUGCUACAGUGCUCUCCUGUCUUUGCCAAGCUUGUUGAAGGUCAUUCUCCUCCGGUGAACUUCGAGAUCAAUGGGCAGCACUACAACAAGGGGUACUAUCUAGCUGAUGGCAUCUAUCCGAGAUGGUUGACAUUUGUGAAGACCAUCUCAAAUCUUGUGCCAGGAGGCAAGAACGCCUGGUUUGCGAAGAUUCAGGAGGCGCGCAGGAAGGAUGUCGAGCGGGCAUUUGGUGUGCUCCAAUCUCGAUUUGCUGUUGUCCGGUACCCCGCUCAGACGUGGUCCAAAGAUCAAAUGUGGGAGAUUAUGACUUGCUGUGUCAUCUUGCUCAACAUGAUCAUCGAGAGCGAGCAAGAAGACCCAGUGUUUGACACUGAACCAUACUACUGUUGGGGAACAUAGUAAUUUCAAAAAAAUUCCUACGCACACGCAAGAUCAUGGUGAUGCAUAGGAACGAGAGGGUAGAGUGUUGUCUACGUACCCUCGUAGACCGGAAGCGGAAGCAUUAGCACAACACGGUUGAUGUAGUCAUACGUCUUCACGGCCCGACCGAUCAAGCACCGAAACUAUGGCACCUCCGAGUUCUAGCACACGUUCAGCUCGAUGACGAUCCUCGGACUCCGAUCCAGCAAAGUGUCGGGGAAGAGUUCCGUCAGCAUGAAGGCGUGGUGACGAUCUUGAUGUUCUAUCGUCGCAGGGCUUCGCCUAAGCACCGCUACAAUAUUAUCGAGGAUUAUGGUGGAGGAGGGCACCGCACACGGCUAAUAGAUCUCAAUGAUCAAUUGUUGUGUCUUUGGGGUGCCCCCUGGCCACGUAUAUAAAGGAGUGGAGGAGGGGGGAGAGGGCCGGCCCCUAUGGCGCGCCUUGGAGGAGUCCUACUCCCACCGGGAGUAGGAUUCCCCCCUUUCCAAGUAGUAGGAGUAGGAGUCAAGGCAAGGGAAGAGAGAAGAGAAGGAAGGAGGGGGCGCAACCCCUCCCCCUAGUCCAAUUCGGACUAGGCCUUGGGGGGCGCCCAACCUCUCCUCUCUCUUUCCCCUAAAGCCCAAUAAGGCCCAUAUACUCCCCGGCGAAUUCCCGUAACUCUCCGGUACUCCAAAAAAUAUCCGAAUCACUCGGAACCUUUCCGAUGUCUGAAUAUAGUCGUUCAAUAUAUCGAUCUUUACGUCUCGACCAUUUCGAGACUCCUCGUCAUGUCCCCGAUCUCAUCCGGGACUCCGAACUCCUUCGGUACAUCAAAACUCAUAAACUCAUAAUAUAACUGUCAUCGAAACCUUAAGCAUGCGGACCCUACGGGUUCGAGAACAAUGUAGACAUGACCGAGACACGUCUCCGGUCAAUAACCAAUAGCGGAACCUGGAUGCUUAUAUUGGCUCCCACAUAUUCUACGAAGAUCUUUAUCGGUCAGACCGCAUAACAACAUGCGUUGUUCCCUUUGUCAUCGGUAUGUUACUUGCCCGAGAUUCGAUCGUCGGUAUCUCAAUACCUAGUUCAAUCUCGUUACCGGCAAGUCUCUUUACUCGUUCCGUAAUACAUCAUCCUGCAACUAACUCAUUAGUUGCAAUGCUUGCAAGGCUUAAGUGAUGUGCAUUACCGAGAGGGCCCAGAGAUACCUCUCCGACAAUCGGAGUGACAAAUCCUAAUCUCGAAAUAUGCCAACCCAACAAGUACCUUCGGAGACACCUGUAGAGCACCUUUAUAAUCACCCAGUUACGUUGUGACGUUUGGUGGCACACAAAGUGUUCCUCCGGUAAAUGGGAGUUGCAUAAUCUCAUAGUCAUAGGAACAUGUAUAAGUCAUGAAGAAAGCAAUAGCAACAAACUAAACGAUCAAGUGCUAUGCUAACAGAAUGGGUCAAGUCAAUCACAUCAUUCUCCUAAUGAUGUGAUCCCGUUAAUCAAAUGACAACUCAUGUCUAUGGUUAGGAAACAUAACCAUCUUUGAUAAACGAGCUAGUCAAGUAGAGGCAUACUAGUGACACUCUGUUUGUCUAUGUAUUCACACAUGUAUUAUGUUUCCGGUUAAUACAAUUCUAGCAUGAAUAAUAAACAUUUAUCAUGAUAUAAGGAAAUAAAUAAUAACUUUAUUAUUGCCUCUAGGGCAUAUUUCCUUCAACUACAGGCAGGGUCCUCUAACCGAAGUUGAUCACCAGCUACCGGCAACUUGGACUGCCUAUCUCAGUAUGCGUCAGGAGAUCCGAGACCCACAGGUGCAUCAUCAACUGCAGAAAGAUCUGAUUGAGCACCUAUGGAGGCUCAAGGGGGACGCCGUGUGAUGAAAUACGAGUUUUUAUUUGUUGAACUAUAUAAUUUUUAUUGAACUAUUUGUUGUUGUACUAUUUUGUUGAAGUAUUUGAUUUUUCUAUGAUGAAAUAUGUGGCAAGAAAAAAUUGUGUUGAUAAUUGAACGCCGAGACACGGUGAACCACGCCGAAUAUGGGUCUAUUCUCGCCCAUAUGGGCCCUUCAUUCGUCGAAAUGGGGCUGCAAAGUGGGCCAAUUUCGGCGCCUGGGGGCGAGCUGGGGGCGAUGACUGGGCGCAAAACCGCCCCCAGCGCCGAUUGUAUCGCCGGCUCGCCCCCAGGGGGCGAUUUUUAUGCGUCCUGGGGGGGUCAACGGCUGGAGAUGCUCUAACGGUUGCGCAAGUCCAUGGAGGGCUCCACCCACGAAGGGUCCACGAAGAAGCAACCUUGUCUAUCCCUCCAUGACCAUCGCCCACGAAGGACUUGCCUCACUAGGGUAGAUCUUCACGAAGUAGGCGAUCUUCUUACCCGUACAAACUCCUUGGUUCAACUCCACAAUCUUGUCGGAGGCUCCCAAGUGACAGCUAACCAAUCUAGGAGACACCACUCUCCAAAAGGUAAUAGACAGUGUGUUGAUGAUGAACUCCUUGCUCUUGUGCUUCAAAUGAUAGUCUCCCCAACACUCAACUCUUUCUCACUGAUUUGGAUUUGGUGGAAAGAAGAUUUGAGUGGAAAGCAACUUGGAGAAGGCUAGAGAUCAAGAUUCAUAUGGUUGGAAUGGAAUAUCUUGGUCUCAACACAUGAGUAGGUGGUUCUCUCUCAGAAAAUGAAUGUUAGAAGUGUAGGCAUGUUCUGAUAGCUCUCUCCAUGAAUGAAGAGUGGGUGAAGGGGUAUAUAUAGCCUCCACAUAAAAUCUAACCAUUACACACAAAUCACCAAACUUGGUGGGACCGAAUAAUGAAACUCGGUCAGACCGAUUUAGUUCAAAAUGUGAACAUUAGGCUUUUCGUUGGGACCGACAUGUCAACUCGGUGUGACCGAUUUCAUUAGAGUUAGGGCAUAAUGUAAUCUCGAUGAGACCGAUUACACAAACUCGGUGGGACCAAUUUUGGUAAUAAGCUAACCAGAGAGUUGGUCAGGCAAACUCGGUGGGACUGAUUCGCUCAUCUCGGUGAGAUCGAAACGUUAAGAAGGGGAAACAGAGAGUUUGCAUUGCGAACUCGGUGGGACCGAUCGCUCAUCUCGGCGAAAUGUUAUGAAGGGAAACAUUGAGUUUGCAAUCCCAUCUCGGUGAGACCAAGAUCCCUAUCGGUAAGACCGAAGUGACUAGGGUUUGUGGCAGUGGCUAUGUCAAAUGAACUUGGUGCGUCGGAUAGAACAUUUCGGUGGGGACGAGUUUGACUUUUGGUUUGGGACAUAUGUGGAUAUGAGAAAGUGGUUGAGGGCUUUGGAGCAUAUCACUAAGCAUUUUGAGCAAGCAAGCCAUUAAGCAACACCUCAUCCCUUUUAAUAGUAUUGACUUUUCCUAUGGACUCAAUGUGAUCUUGGAUCACUAAAAUGAAAAUGUAGAGUCUUGAGCUUGAGCCAAUGUGUGUUCUUAGCAUUUUGAGGGGUCCACAUUCCUAAUCCAUGCCAUGCCAAUCAUUGAACUUUCUGAAAUGAUCAUCUUGAAAUAGCAUUAGUUCAAUGAGCUAUAUGUUGUUAGUAAUUACCAAAACCACCUAGGGAUAGUUGCACUUUCAAUCUCCCCUUUUUGGUAAUUGAUGACAACAUAUAGAUUAAAGCUUCGAUAAAUGAUAAUAAGAUUUAAAGUACAUCGUCGCUUUGAGAAGUAUGUGAUAAGCAAGAGCUCCCCCUAAAUUUGUGCAUUAUUUAAAAUUUGCUUUUGAAUGCAAAUGCACAAUCGGUUAGGAUUAUGGGUUACUCUUCCAUGUCACAUACAUCUUGGUGGAGCGCUCAAAAUGAUAGGAAUUAAAACAUGCACUCAUCACCAAGCAAAGUGAAUGAUCAUAUAGGGAUAUAAGAGAUAAUAUCAUCCAGGCAAGCAUUAAAAUAGCAUAUGAUCAAACAAGUAUCUCACACAAACAUAGAGUAUCAACCAAGCACACAAUAAAGUUCAACCAAAAUCAAGAGAGACAAAGAAGCAAAAACACACUCUCUCUCGAAGCCUAUGAUCUAUACAUUUCUCCCCCUUUGGCAACAAGUUACCAAAAAGUUCAAAAAUGCAUAGUGCUAUGCAUCUCUCAGGCUUGGUCUUCGAGAGGUGGUGUAGAGAGAACUCCAAGGACGAAGGCAUCUGUUGAUGUAGUUGGAGCUGGUGGAGUGGGUUGCACUUUCAAUACCUACACGGGUUAGUCCCACAAAGAACAAACAAGGAUAUCCAUAGACAUAGAGUGAUGAUCACAUAAGAUGAUGUCCAUGAAAGCAUUAGGUUACCUUGUCCCUUGUCUUACCAACAAGAGGGUUUGUGACUCCUAGAACUAGUGCAAGAUGUGGAAGUUGUUUGCACAUGUCCUUGCCAAAAGAUAUGAGUGAAGUAUGUUGGCGUAGUCACCCUCAAGAACUCUCUAGUUCUUCUUCUUCGGGAUCCACAUCAUCUUGAUGGGAAUCCUUGGAGUUGUAGUUGUACUUGAUGUGGUAGAACUUGAUGUAGUCUUGGGAACCCACUUGACCAAGGCCUCGGGAGCUUCUUCAAAUGCAUCAAUCUCCUCUUGAAGCUUGUCCUUCCCUUUUAGCUUGUGGUCUUGUGGUGGAAGAUCAUCUUGAGCUUGUGUCCCUUGGAAUGAAGUAGGAUCAUACUUCUCUUGUUGAGGAACAAACUUCGUCUUGGGGUAUUGAUCUUCUUCCCACUCAACUUCAUUGGCAUUGAACUUCCAUUCAAAACCAACACCUUGAUUCUUCUGGUGUCUUCCUUGCUUGCGUACAAUUUCCUCAAAUUGCUUACUUCCGACAAGGCUCUUGUAAACACCUUUCUCUAUAAUUCCAUUUAAUAAGCUAUUUCCUUGCUCAAGUGUAAAUUGGCUAAGAGAAUCAUUAGUGGAAUCAAGAGAACUACUAGAAGCAACAAUAUUGGAUUUAACAUGAUUUUUGUUACUACCAGAAGAAGAACCUUUCUUACUCUUAUUGCUAGAUUUAACUUGUGGCAUGUAAGUAUACAAGAGUAAACGCUUGGCAAUGUAAGAAGAACUUUUCUUGCGAAGAUCAUCAUUGAUUGCCUUUAAGAACUCAUGCUCUUGCUCAAGGUUGAGCUUUUCAAAGCGUAAUUUCUCACGAGUCUUUAAAAGUUCUCGAUGAUCUUCCAAGGUAGUUUCAUGAGCUAACUUAAGAGUGUUUAGUUCUUUAGUCAGACGCUCAAUCUCCUUCUUAUAAUCGUCAUUUGUUUUAUAUUGAUUAUCAUGAUUAAUAGUAAGUUCAUCAUAGUUUUCAUAACUAUAGUUGUCAACAAGUAAAUCAUCAUCUUCUAGCAAAUCAUCUUCAUCACUAUUGAAAUCAACAUACUCGGGGUGUGAUACCUUUGGGCCUUUAGCCAUGAAGCAUAUUCCAAUUCCUUCAUUUGGUGAGUCAAAUAUGUCGUAGGAGUUGGUUGACACAAGUGCUAGAUCGGCAACACCUUCAUCUUGAGUUUAUUCGGAGUCGGAGUGAUAACUUCUCUCGGAGUGAUUGUCGGAGUCGGAGCCGGAUACCCAUUCACCAACAUGAGCUUGAUGUCUUCAUUUUGUGUAGCUCCUUGAUGAUUUGUCCUUCCUUCCUGAAUCAUUGCUUCUCCGUGAUGUUCUUCGUUCAUAAAGGUCAUCUCUACUCCUUCUCUCUCUAGGUGGUGAUUCUUCUCUUCUACUUCUCCUUUUGGGUGAAUCUUCUCUUCUUUUGUAGGGAGCCAUACACUCAUUGGAGUAGUGUCUGGGUCUUCCACAAUUGUAGCAAUUUCGUUCAUGACUUGAAGAUCUUUUUUCAUUGUAGGACCUUGACUUGGAACUUCUCUCCUUGCUUAUACUCUUGUAGAACUUGUUGAAGUUCUUCACCAUUAGGCUCAAUUCUUCAUUGAAGGUUUGUUUCUCACUUGAUGAUGUGGGAGCAUCACAUGAGGCUUUGUAAGCACCACUUGACUUGUUGUGAAGCUCUUCCUUAUCCUCGAGUGACAUCUCAUGAGCAACAAUUCUUCCAAUGACUUCUGUUGGCUUGAGAUCUUCGUAAUUGGGCAUCAUUUGAAUCAAUGUACACACGGUAUUAUAUUUUCCAUCCAAGGCUCUUAGGAUAUUCUUGAUGAUGAAUCUGUCGGUCAUCUCUUCACUUCCUAAGCCGCCAAUCUCAUUUGUGAUGAGAGCAAGCCUAGAGUACAUUCCAGCGACACCUUCACCAUCCUUCAUUUUGAACCUGUCAAGUUGACUUUGAAGCACAUCCAAUUUGGAUUCCUUGACGGAGUUGGUACCUUCGUCAUAUCAAUCAAAGUAUCCCAAAUUUCCUUUGCAUUCUCAAGACAGCUGAUUUUGUUGAAUUCUUUGGGGCACAAUCCGUUGAAGAGGAUAUCACAAGCCUGAGCAUUGUAUUGCAGCAUCUUCAACUCUUCCGCGGUAGCUUCACGGUUUGGUUCUCUCCCAUCAAAUAAUUUACCUUGCAAGCCAAUACACACAAUAGCCCAAACGGAGGGGUUAUGUCCAAGAAUAUGCAUUUUCAUCUUAUGCUUCCAACUAGCAAAAUUAGUACCAUCAAAGUAAGGACCUCUACGGUGGUAAUUUCCCUCACUAGACGCCAUACUCUCCUAGGUUGUGAAACCAAGGUUGUGAUCACCAAACGCUAUGGAAAUCAAGGCAAAUGGAGACCAAAGCUCUAAUACCACAUGUAGGAUCGAAAGUAUGUCUAGAGGGGGGGGGGUGAUUAGACUACUUGACCAAAUAAAAAUCUAGCCUUUUCCCAAUUUUAAGUCUUGGCGGAUUUUAGCAACUUAGCACUAGUCAAGCAAUCAACCUACACAUGCAAGUCUAAGAGUAUAUCAGCAGAAUGUAAAACAUUGCACAUCAAGGUAAAGGGAGGAGUUUGGAGGGAGCAAACGCAAUGUAGACACGGAGAUUUUUGGCGUGGUUCCGAUAGGUGGUGCUAUCGUACAUCCACGUUGGUGGAGACUUCAACCCAUGAAGGGUAACGGUUGCGCGAGUCCACGGAGGGCUCCACCCAUGAAGGGUCCACGAAGAAGUGAUACGUCUCCGUCGUAUCUACUUUUCCAAACACUUUUUCCCUUGUUUUGGACUCUAACUUGCAUGAUUUGAAUGGAACUAACCCGGACUGACGCUGUUUUCAGCAGAAUUGCCAUGGUGUUAUUUUUGUGCAGAAAUAAAAGUUCUCGGAAUGACCUGAAAAUCAACGGAGAUUAUUUUUGGAAUAUAUAAAAAAUACCGGUGAAAGAAUUAACGUCAGGGGGCCCACACCCUUUCCAUGAGGGUGGGGGGCACGCCUACCCCCCUGGGCGUACCCCUUGCCUCGUGGGCCCCCUGAUGCUCCUCCGACCUCAACUCCAACUCUAUAUAUUCGUGUUCGGGGAGAAAAAAUAUCAGACAGAAGGAUUCAUCGCGUUUUACGAUACGGAGCCGCCGCCAAGCCCUAAACUCUCUCGGGAGGGCUGAUCUAGAGUCCGUUCGGGGCUCCGGAGAGGGGAAUCCGUCGCCAUUGUCAUCAUCAACCUUCCUCCAUCACCAAUUUCAUGAUGCUCACCGCCGUGCGUGAGUAAUUCAAUCGUAGGUUUGCUGGACAGUGAUGGGUUGGAUGAGAUUUAUCAUGUAAUCGAGUUAGUUUUGUUAGGGUUUGAUCCCUAGUAUCCACUAUGUUCUGAGAUUGAUGUUGCUAUGACUUUGCUAUGCUCAAUGCUUGUCACUAGGGCCCGAGUGCCAUGAUUUCAGAUCUGAAUCUAUUAUGUUUUCAUGAAUAUAUGUGUGUUCUUGAUCCUAUCUUGCAAGUCUAUAGUCACCUAUUAUGUGUUAUGAUCCGUUUACCCCGAAGUGACAAUAAUCGGGAUACUUACCGAUGAUGACCUAGUUUGAGGAGUUCAUGUAUUCAUUAUGUGUUAAUGCUUUGGUUCGGUACUCUAUUAAAAGAGGCCUUAAUAUCCCUUAGUUUCCAAUAGGACCCCGCUGCCACGGGAGGGUAGGACAACUUGCUAGGGUUAGAGAGAAUGAAAUUAUUGAAACUGAUAAUAUUGAUGAAAAUGAUGAUGAAGAUUCUCCCCCUAGAUAUGAAUUGUCUAUUGUGCCUGAGGGUUAUGUUAUGGAUGAAGAAAUUGCUAGAGACUUCUUAGCUUAAAAUGAUAGAUCUGAUCUUAAGAAAUUAUUAGCUAAGCUUAAAGAAAACUCUUUGAAUGCUAGAAUGAAAUAUGACCCUGCUUUUACUACUUCACCUAUCUUUAUUAUCAAUAAGGAUCAUGAUUUCUCUGUCGAUCUGAGUUAAUUACUUUGGUUGAAUCUGAUCCUAUUUAUGGCUAUGAAUCUAAAACUAUCGUGGCACAUCUUACUAAAUUAAAUGAUAUAGCCACCCUGUUUACUCAUGAUGAGAAAGCUCGCUAUUACUUUAUCCUUAAGUUGUUUCCGUUCUCAUUAAAGGGUGAUGCUAAAACAUGGUUUAAUUCUCUUAAUCUUGGUUGUGUGCGUAGUCCCCAGGAUAUGAUUUAUUACUUCUCUGCUAAAUAUUCCCCCGCUCAUAAGAAACAACCUGCUUUAAGGGAAAUAUAUAAAUUUGUGCAAAUUGAAGAAGAGAGUCUCCCACAAUCUUGGGGGAGGCUUCCCGAUUACUUAAUGAUUUGCCUGAUCAUCCUCUCAAGAAAACUGAAAUAGUUGAUAUCUUUUAUAAUGGACUAACCAAUGCUUUCAGAGACCACCUGGAUAGUUGUGCUGGUUGUGUUUUCAAGGAAAGAUCUGUUGAUCAAGCUGAAUUGCUAUUGAAUAAUAUGUUGAGUAAUGAAAAUUAUUGGACACUUCCUGAACCACCUCCUAAGCCAACUCCAAAGAAAAGAGGCAUUCUAUUUCUCAGUCUUGAAGAUAUGCAAGAGGCAAAGAAAUCUAUGAAAGAAAAAGGUAUUAAAGCUGAAGAUGUUAAGAAUUUACCACCUAUUUAAGAAAUACAUGGUUUUGAUAACCCGACACAGGUAGUAAACGUAAAUUCUAUCUAUAGAUUUGAUGAAGGUGAUAUUCCUCGUUAUAAGUCUGCUAGCCUAUGCUUAGAUGAGUUUGAUAAUUUUAUGGUUAAACAAGAAGACUUCAAUGCUUAUGUUGGUAGACAAUUAAAACGCAAUGCUGAUAUGAUUGAACACUUGAGUGAUUAUAUGGCUAGUGUUAAGGGUGAACUUAAUCUUAUUAGUAAACAUGCUUCUAUGGUUACCACUCAAGUAGAACAAGUACUUAAAGCUCAGAAUGAUUUUCUCAAUGAACUAAAUAGUAAGAAUGAUGUCGUGGUGGGCGCACGGCAGAUGCCAAGGGAUGGCUAAGGAGAGGAGGAGGCUCAAGGGCGCUGGUGGACUCCAGAGGCGGGGUUGGCAUGAGCGGGCGCGGGAUGCCGGACAUACCCAGGUUCGAGGCUCUUCGGAGAGAUAAUACCCCUAGUCCUGCCGAGUGUAGUUGGAUGAUCCAUAGUACAAUGUUGCUCCUGGAGCUGUAUGGAGGAGGAAGGAAGCUAGCCAAGGCUUGGGCUGCUCCUUCUCUCCGGUGUUGCUGUUUUGUGGCUAGCCCUAUGCUCACUUGCUUUUCUCUCGUAUGUGUUUUUUGUUUGCCCUCUCGCUCGCCCUCCGGAGAGAUGAUUCCUUUCUCAUGAUCGUGGGCUCCCGGGGGGUUUUAUAGUCCAACCCCUCGGGGGUACAAUGGUAGUGUUACAAGUUGGUGGGUCCGUAUUGUUAGUGUCCGGGGACCCGGGCUGGGUCCCGUUGAGGGCUUGUGGUUCGCCGGGUUCCCCUAGGUGCGGGCCCCGCAUGCCUAGGGGGACUGUGCGCCGUCUUGUCGAUCGUCAGGGUGUGGCCGAGUCGAGUCACGUACAGUGCUCUCCGUCAGGUUGCCGCUUGCUGUCGUUAGCGGUGAGGGCGGGGGCACUGUAGCCACGCCGGCCCUGGUCAGCGAGUAGGUGAGGGGCACUGUUGCCACGUACCCGCUGACCAGAGGCAUGGGCGGGGCACUGUUGCCUCGGUCAUUGUUGAUUGAAGUCUCGUCCCCAUCAUACGGCCUGGAUGGGACGUGAGUUGACCCACGGCUAGAUUGCGUAGCACACCACGGGUGGCGCUGGCUUGUUGAGGAGGCUUUGGUCGUACCGGGUUCGGCUGUCUUGCGCUAGUUGUUGGGACCGAGUCGACGUGUCUUGCCGGGUCGGCUAGUCUGGCCAGCUUGCGGGGCUUGGCCGGGUCGAGCGACCCAGCCAAGCACGUGCCGGUAUUGAGGGGCGAUGCCAACCCCAUUGUUUUUUGAAGAGGAUCCGGGUUCCGUUGCCUGCCCGGGGUCCAUCCCUCCGACAGUAGUCCCCGAAGCUGUGAAGGUCCGUCGUCUUCAGAUGAGUGGGCCUUCACAGUUUCCCCCUUAAGAAAGGUGGAUUCUACGAGCGUCGGGUCCGGCAACACCCACUGUGUGCCGGUUUUCUCUGAAACCGGAUCGUGGCAUCUCGGCCGUGGCGGGAACCGAGAAGUCCGUCGAAUCUUGGGGCAAUCCCUCAGGCUUUGCGCGUAGCAAAGACAGAGCCAACUAGGAGGUGUUGAAUGGUUUCGUCAUGUUGGUUGCAAAGAGGGCAGGAGUACGUCCUGGUGAGGUAGUCCACGGCGGGCCAACUGGUCCGAUGUCCAGCAUCUGUUCUUGAGGGCAAGCCAGGCGAAAAAACAACACUGCAAGGGCGCCUUCGACUUCUAGGUGAACGUCGCUGAUAGGGAGACCACACGCCCCAUGAAACCUACGGCAUAGGCAGAUCUAGCCGAAAAUUGCCCGUCCUUCUCCCAUGACCAUGUCACCACAUCCUCAACGUCAUUCGUAAGCUGUCUUCCCGAGAUUAGGGGCCAUCAAGGCCUGAAUCUAUCAAUUGAAAUAAAGUACCUUGUUCGCAUUUUAUUGCGGCUCAUCCUCGCGGUUAGCCUACCGGCUACCGGCAAAUAGCCUGCAGAUCGGCGCUCGCCCACAGCCGUCCCUUCUCCGCUUCUCUUGAUGGUUGUGCGACAAAAAGUUGCGUAGAGAUCGCAUAGGCGAUAGCAGGCAGUGACUGGCGGCAGAUGUGAAUCUCAAUCGCAGCAGGCGACUGUGUAACGAAGCCAUAGCACGAACUGUGUGUGCGUGACCACGUGGCUGCGUGCAACUACCCGCUAAUUGGCCCCUUUGUCACCUAUGAUGGGCUGCGUAAGCGAUGAACAGUUGGGUAGCAGGAAAAAUAGCAAAAAAUUGAUUGCUAUUAACGAGGCGACGCGAUCGGUAGGGGGGUCUCGCCCCCCCCCCCCUCGUCCCUCCUUGAAUCCGUCCCUGCCCGUACCUUCAUUGGUCGUUGGGCAUGUCGUCAUCCACGGCUCCGUCCAUUGUGAAGGUGGAGCCGAUCAGAAGAGGAGUUCACGUAGUAGAUGGAGGAGGUGAUGCGCCGGUCGAUGACCGACCAUGGUCAGGCGCCGUCGUCGCCUCCGCUGAACCACGACAUCUAGAUCGGACGUCGCGUCAAGGAGGUGCCACCAUCCCCUCCGCACAAUCACGACAUCAAGAUCGGGCGUUGCGUCAGUCGUCCCCUAUGCAUAACCGCGGCUCACAUUGGACGUUGCGCCAAGGAGAAUCCAUCAUCUCCUCCGUGCAACUGUGGAGUCCAGAUCAAAUGCCGCAUCAAAGAGGAGUCGUCGUCCCCUCCGCACCGCCAGCCAGGCACACGACGCCCUAUCCUCCCAACUGUCAAGAAGGUGGAGCCGUCCUUCCUACUAUCGAAGCCGUCACCAUGGCUCCACUACUACCUCAAAAGGGGUCGGCGUCCAAGUGGCAAGGCGCCUGGUGGCAUUCGCAAGCCCCAUGUGGCGCCAACUUGGGUGCUCGUAGAGCUCACGCUUGCGAAGGAUUGGGCCCUUGAUCAGUCCAGUACCAGUGUACCACACCCUCGAGUCGGACACUCGCCGCUGUCAUCAGCGUCGGAUCAACACCCAACUCCUUCAAGUGGGGCUGGAGGAGUCUAAGCGAGCCAUCUGUCUCCAAACCGAGAACAAGCGGCGCAAGGCGACGACCAAAGAGGGAUGUCGCGAUGCCUGGAGGGCCUUCCACCACCGACGCCAUGACAACGACGACGACAACAACGGCGCAUGUGGCGGUGUCGACGAGGGCUUGGAUGACGGCGGGGGUGCUGGUGGCCUCGUAGGGAGUCGAGCCGGAUAUCCGCAGACAAGUUUUGAACGGUUUGCGGACAUUUGGUGAUGUCUAUGUGGUGAUCCGCGUUGGAGAUGCACGACAUGGCCGGAUAAUUUUGUCAAGUGCGCACGCAUGCGUUUUGCUAUAGUUGUAUCCUACCUAAAUUUCCAUUUUUGUACUUAUAGGUUAGCAACACUGGCGCAUGCCUGAACGUUAGAUGGUGGACAGCAAGACCCACCCAUGUUGCCGUGUAUUCAAGUGUUCCCCGUUGCUUUCAAAAUGCUACGCGGUCCAUGGUACGUACGCGGAGGCAGACAUUACAUUAAGCACCAAAAAUAGAAGAUCGCCGCAUUCAAUCAUCCGAUCUAGCGUAGCGUAGCUGGGUCGGGGCGGUGUUGACAUGUGUGCAGCUGGGUUGGGCAGGGACACGGCGUCACUGCCCCCCCAUCAGGGCAUUAUGGUGUCCAUCCCUGAUGCUGAUGGCGAUGCAUCACUGCUACUCGUGCACACGGCACGGCGUGUUUUCUUGGACCAGAUCUCCCAAGCGUAUGAUGGAUGCGUCGCCCAACGCUCGAUGAGAAGCACUGGAUCAAAGCACAAGGCAAACCUUUUUUGUUUCUCUGGCUCGUUGGCGGGGCGGUAGAGUAUAUUUCACAAAAAUACUACGUAUCACAAUUCAGGCAACCCUCCCUCGAACUAUCACUUAUCACUUACCGGGCAUCUCCAACGGCGACCAGCAAAUUUCUUCUGGCAUCCAUCCGCGGACAGGGAAGAGUUAGUCCACGGACAUGGAUGCGAGAUGCUGCCAUCCAACUGUGCCCGUAUACGGUUUAAACAAUUUUUCAGCAAACCAGAUAAAAUUCAUGCAAACAUGACACGAUUUCAUAUAAAAAUGUCAGAUUUUAUACAAACACGGCGCACUUUCAUUAGAUUUUGAACAUUUAGAAGAAAAACGACCCGAUCCUAAACCUAUCCUGCGGCGGUGGCGCCCGGCGUCCAAGCCCUUCCCGUCCUCCAUCCAUCGUCUUUAUGACCACUAGCGAUAAGACCGAUGAAGUGAAGCUGCAAUCUAAGGCGAGGAAGAGAAGAACGAGACGGACCGGCUCACAUGAGACACAAGGCCCUGCCGUCUUCCAUGCCCUACUCAUCCUCGGAGGAGUCCGUGCCUUGAACGUCGCCGGUGGACAUGAGGUCCACGAUGGAAAUGGUGGCGCCUGCGCUGUCGUCGUCCCACCGGGCCGCCGGACGGUUCGCCAGCGACGCGUCGGAGGCGCAACUGGUGUUGUUCUCCUCCGCGACCUCCUGGAGCUGCGCCUCCGCGGUGGUCGCUUCCUGGUGAGUAACGGCUUGAGCGCGGACGACAUCAUAGAUGGCAAGCUGCUUCGCAUCGAAGUUGGGGUUCGUCGCGGCCAUGGCCGCCACGGCCUCCUCGCCCGUGCGCUCGCCGUAGAUCUGGCCCUCCACCAGCCGGUGAUGCUCCAGGAGAAACAUGCUACACCGAUGUUCCUCCGGCGCCUGCUGGAACGCCGACAUAGGCGCCGGUGCAGGCUGCACCUCCGUCGUGGUGGCGUUAUAGUGUGCCUGCUCCAUGGUGAAGUCGGCGCGGGAGCCAAGGCGCUGUCGUCGGAACCCGUCUCCAUCGUGGUGUCGUCUUCGUCGUCGAAGACCUCGGGCGAGCUGGCCGGCAAGCCGGCCUUGAUUUGCCUGGCACAACGGCUCUGGUAGGCGGCGACAAGGGUGACCACCACAUGCUUCAUCUUUACGGAAAGGCUCGCCCAUAGAGCUUCGUCGCCUGUAGUCAUGGCGGAUGCAGUGCAAGAGACGAGGAUUGGGAGAGGGCUUGUGUUGUGGCAUGGAGUAGCCGGGUGUGGCCGCCUUUAAAUAGCGGAUUCCGGUGAGGCCAGACUUACGGGUGCUCAAUGUGCGGUCGAAGUGUGUUUCUCGGCCGGCGAACCUGCUUAAUGACGGCAUACGGACGGACAGGGCAUUGAACGUGCGUGAUAGAUAUACGUCUCAUCCUGCCCAGUAAUGUGUCUCUGGCUGAACAGGCGCGGGCACCGGAGACGCGUCACGGGCAGCGCCCUCGGCCGGCGUGCUGCUUCAAUUGGCGGAUGCAAUGAGAGGUCGCUUCCGUCCUGAGCCGUCUUUAAUGUGGAGCGGUGCGCUCUACAACGACAUGAAUGCGGUCGAGGAAGGAAAGGAUUUGGUGGGUCAGGAUGGUUAGAAGCAGGCGCAGGAGCAAUCCGGACUCCCGCAAAACCCCCCACAUUUGUCUCCGGUAUGUGAGAGAAAACGCGUCCAAGCUAUCAUGCAAAUCGAUACAGAUCUAUGUUAAAUGGUUUCCGCUAUUCGAACGGACGUGAACGAUUUGUGGAUCGGCUUUAGAGAUGCCUUACAAUUUUUGUCGGAGCAAGAACUCAGUGACAUAGGACCAGCCGUCCACGAACAAUCUCCCGUCACAGUGGUGUAGUCCGCGCGCGUCAUCACGCGCUGCCUGGAAACCAUCUGUUUUUUUUUAUACAUCCAUUUCUUUAAUAAGUAUUUUCAGACGGAAGGAGUAAUAAAGAGAACUUCCUUUCUAAUUUUCAUUUAACUGAAACCAUCUGUCCUUUUACAGUUUGAGAAAUCAAGAAAUAGUGUUGCGUCUGAUAAUGACAGACCUUGUGUUGUUGUUAACAUGAUUGCUACUCCCUCCGUUCCAUAUUAUCCGUCGCUGAUUUAGUACAAAGUUGUACUAAAGCGACAAGUAAUAUGAAAUGAAGGGAGUAGAUAAUGAUUUAACGAUUGGGUGAUUUUGCAGAAAAAACAGGAAAAUCAAGAGUGUUCGAAACGGAUAGUAAGUGAAGUCUUCAAAACGGUAUAUGGUUCUGAAGUGCUGCUGCUUCUUCCCUAUAGUACGUCUGUUACAGUACCUCUGCUAUAGACUUCAUGUGCUGGCGUUUUAGGGAAUGUUUUGUUGGCAAUGUACUACUCCCUCCGUCCCAUAAUGUAAGACUUUUUUUGACUUAAAAAAAAAAACGUCUUACAUUAUGGAAUGAAGGAAGUAAUGUAUAGUUUUUGGUACUUGCUCAUGGUUGCAGAGGCAGUGUCUGACUUGUUGCCUGU
Molecule: long non-coding RNA, 67172 nt
Filed under: Triticum aestivum (bread wheat)
Lineage: Eukaryota; Viridiplantae; Streptophyta; Magnoliopsida; Poales; Poaceae
Description: long non-coding RNA (TAES_LNC001966)
Rfam family: MIR1120/MIR1122 microRNA precursor family (bases 28407-28511)
Source: RNAcentral